GAGACGAAUCUAUUAAGCCUAAUUAAUCCAUCAUUAGCAAAUAUUUACUGUAGCAACACAUUAUCAAAUCAUGGGCUAAUUAGGCUUAAUAGAUUUAUCUCGCCGUUUAGCCUCCACUUAUGUAAUGGGUUUUGUAAAUAGUCUACGUUUAAUACUCCUAAUUAGUAUCUAAAUAUUUGAUGUGACGGGUGCUUAAAAAUAAAUUAGAGUUACCAAACCAGACAUAAAUCUAUGCAUGCCAAAUCAUUUGCAUCAGCGAGCGAGCGGGAGGGCGGCCUGUUGUUUUUCUGGCCCACCAGGGAGCGGAAGAAGGCCGGUCUGCUGUUUUCCAGCAUAUCGCGUGUUUAGCUAGUGUUGCUCACGGGCCUGCUGCUUUUCUAGCCCAUCAAUCGUAGCUAGCGUUGGUUGCACGUAGAAGCCCUCAAAUCUAAGGCGUAAAGAUGUAGCAUCGUACGACAGACUCACGAUAUUAACAACCAUCCAAAUAACUAGUUAAAAAUAUAAUUAUGCAGUAUUUUGACAUUCCAGUGCUGUGCAGUUCCAGUAAUUGCAAUAUGACUGAUUGCAUUUGCAAUUGCUAAAGCAAAACUCGAUGAAGAUAUGAAAAAAUAAAAUCCAUUGACUUGGUCAAAUAAAAUAGUAGUAAGAUAUGGAAAAAAAUUUCGGCAGUAAACCCUGUUUGGUUGAAAAAACCAAUGGGCUGUGCAGUCCAAAUGGAAACGGACAGUAAAAAAACAGAGAAAUCCACGACCCUGCUAUACGGGCCUGGCCCCUCCAAAGAUGCGCUAUUCGGCUUGAAAUCCAAUCCAUCUCCCCAAAGAUAGAUAACUAAACAUCUGUAACCUAGCAUUAGCCUAAUAACUGGCUUACAAUAACCCAACAAACUAUCUCAAUAUUUUAUAUGAACUAUCUCAACACUUUUUACAUGAAAAAGUUGGUGAAUGUAAAAAAAUGUUGGUGAGUGAAAAAAAAGUUGGUGCAUGUAAAAAAUUAUUAAGCCAUAAUGUUGGUGAAUGUAAAAAAAUUAAAGAAAAAUGUUGGUAUAUAUUAAAAAUGUUGGUAACAAUUAAGUCAGUAUUUUUCAAAAUGUUGAUGAAUAUCAACAAAUAUUGAUGAAUGUUAAAAAUAUAUUGUACGUGAGCUUAACAUGGACUAUAGACAGAUUGCCUUUCGGAAGAUAUAUACAGGAGCCCCCAGAUUCCUUCCUUCUGUGGGUCGGUUUUAGCCCAAUGGGCCGCAUCAUAAAACCCUAGCCCGUGGCCUUAAACCCUCCUCUGCUUGGUAGUCUCCGUCUUCUUCUCCAUCAAGAAAGAGGCGCAUUCCCUUUAUUCCACUCUCUGCUGCUCUUCUUCCCCUCCCACAAGCCGCAAGGCCAACCGGAAGCACCAAGGCGCAAGAUGGACCCCAGCGGCGCGAUGGAGGAGCGGGUCGUGACGGAACGGAUCCGCCGGAAGCUGGAGGAGGUCAACGCCGCCGCGCAGCAGCAACUCGCCGGCGUCCAGGACCAUGUCAACUUCACCAUGCAGGUAAGGAGUUCGGGGCCGGGCCGGUUCUUUGGAACCGCCGAGGGUUGUAGCUUUGAGAAGGGGGAGUGAGGUAGCUGCGGUAGUAGGCCUCGGAACCAUUGGCUGGAUUUUGGGGUUUGGUAGUUCACUUGUCCUGAUGGGGAAUAGUUGGGUGGAGGAGGGCGCUAAUCUUGCUCUGUGCGUGAAAUUUUGUGGGGUUUCUCUGGAUGUUUCGUUGAUUGGGUAGUGGCGCGAUUUUUUGGACCGAAUUACUGGAGAUUUGGAGGUUCCGGCUCAGAUGCGACUCUUGGAUGAUUGGGACUGCAAGACUUCUGUGGAUGUCGCUUCUUUUUGUAGGAAUUGGUUGAAGAACGAUAUUGCUAUUGUGGUCUUGUGGAGGACCAAUGCUAGUAACUUGUAAGAUAUAUCAGUAUAGUUUUUUUUUUGGCAAGCUUUCUUGUCCAGAUGGUGAAGUGUAGGGUGGAGGAGAGCGCCAAUAUUGCUGUUGUGCUUGAAAUUUUGUGGGUUUUGUAGAUGUUUCACUGAUGGAUUAGAGGUGCUGUAAUAUGAUGCUGCGGAGUAUUGGAGGUUCUGGGCUCAUAUGCAAGUCUUGGAUUUUUAUAGUUUUUCCUGAUGUAAUUCCAAGCACAUGAAUAGAUGUUAGUUGGUCAGGAAUUCAGGAUAUACUUUUGAAAUGCAAAGUUUAGAUUUUAGUUGUUGUAGCUCAAAUUUGUAGGAAUUCUAGCUUAUUAGUGUAGUACUGGGAUAUGCGGCGUUCAGUUCUGGAUGAUUGUUUUAUCUAUCUUUUGUUUGUUACAAUCUCUUGGGAGUUUGUAUAUCAUUGUGGUGUCGUAUUUUUGUCGAAUCCAUGAGGUUGUUACCAAAUAUAUUUCUGUAUACUAUUCUUGAUAUGAGAGAAAAAUGGGUUUAGACUAAUAGCAGUAAUUGUGGAUCCUCGGCAACCAUUCUGGAGAUAAGAGAAUGGGGGCUUCACUAGUAGGAAAUAUUGUUGGACUGAGUACAAUUUAUCAUGGGUUCGUAUGCUCGAUAUCAUUGUAGGAGGGGAGGGGGUAUGCCUCAGAAUUGAAACAUUAGUGCUGAUUCUCCUGUGAAUUUCUGAUUUAUUUUCAGCAAGCAUACUUCAAGUGCGCAUAUGAGUGCUUCGAUCGGCGAAGGAACCAAGAAGGGAUCAACAACUGCGUGGAGAACUGUAGUGUGCCUGUCCUGACCGCCAACAAUCUUGUUGAGAAUGAAAUGGCCAGGUUUCAGGUACUUCUAAUCUUGUGCCUAUGUCUUGUCAUUAUUUUUUCAAACGGAACAACAUCGAUCAGGCCUGUCUUGUUUAUGUUUUGAGUUAAAGUAACUUAGUUCCUUUGUGCUUGUAGUACUGAAAUGUUGACUGCUUAGUUUUUUGUUGCCGUGAAUAUAUCAGUUACAGUUUGCAGUUAUAACUGAUACUACAGAACCUUUGUUAAUUUAAGUUUCUGUCAUUUGUUUCCAUUGCUACCUUCUGAAUACUGCAUAAAUGGAUAGUCAUAUUUUCCAAGUUCUAUAUACAGGAUAGUUUCAAUGGUUUAUUUGAUAGUCACCAUCUCAAAUGCUUUAACAAACAUGGUGUGUGUGGUUGAUAAAUUCAUGGUGUAUCUGUUUCAUGCAAACAAUCAACAUAUAAAUGGCUUUAAUUAUCAUAUAGGAAAUCCUCUUCCCAGAAGAUAGUAUUGGAUUCAAAUGCCAGAGUAGUUGAUCCUAGAUUCCUAGGUCUAUUUUAUUUGAUUUUUAUCGAAAUGCUAUUAUGAUUUCAAUGUCACAAUAGGAGAGUUUUAUAAUAUUUCCCGUGCAGUGUAUUCCUAAAUCAUGCACCACCUAUUUAUUUAGUCAUAAUAGUACUGCUAGCUGUGGUCAGGAUUUUUUUUUUGAUAAAAUGUGGUCAGGAUUGUUGAAGAUAGUUUUCUCAAGUAUCUGGAAUUCUUGAAAAAAACACAAAUGUCACACAGCUUGUUACUUCUAACAGAAAACAGAAUGCUAUGGCCAUUUGUAGGUAAAGAAAAACUAUAUGGAAUAUGCAUGACUGAUUAAUGUUGCAUUAAAAUCUUUGGAGCCCUAUUUUGGUCUAUCCAUUGUAAUUUAGGUUUUAGAUUGUGCAAGCGUUUUUCUGUCCAUCGAUAAACCUUUAUUAAUCUUCUCCAGGAGCGAUUGAAUCGGUCGUUGAUGGUCUGCCAAGACAAGUUUGAAGCGGCCAAGCUCCAGAAGAUGAAAACGGACGCCACUCAGGAACUGGAAUCCUGUGUUAACAGAUCUAUCGAUGACAGCAUCAGGGUGCUUCCCCAUGUGGUGGAGCAGAUCAAGUCCUCCCUCAAAAUGAAUUAGAGGCGUCAGGCGUGGCUAUUUUUUUUCAUCGGAACCAGAUAGUAGAAAAUCGUUCAAAUUCACAGUUGCAGAUCAACUCCACUUUUUUCAGUGGAAAACGGUUAGCUAGAACUAUGCAGAGCUCAUACUCGAUGUCGGUAUAACAUAACCACUGUAUCUUGCUACUCCUAGCGUGAGGAUAUUGUCGACACUCGACACCGUCGUUCUUUUGAAUUGUACUGAGCUCACAGCUUAUGCAUCUAAAAUAGUACAAGGAUGGAAGAACAUGUUCUGCUUCCAUCAGUCCUUGCUCGUGUCUCCAUUAAUCAUUUUUUUUGGCGAUUUGCCUUGUUUCUCUUGAGUCUAAAGUACACGGGGGCACGUUUGGUGAGAUGUAUAAAUUGGAAAUUAUUCAGGCCUUGUUUGCAGCAUGAAUUUCACAAGAUCCUUUUGUGUCGGUGUUGUUUGCUGGGAGAUUGUCUCGUAGCUGACAGGAAAAAUUUCCUGUAAGAAAAUAGUGUCAGCAAAAUCUAAUUUUCGCAACUCGAUUCAAAUAAAAUAUUUUGUUACCAAACAAAUCAGCGUUCGAAAUGCAAUACAAACCCAAGUACCACCCAGGCAGGCAAACCUGACAGGCCCAAAUGGUGAAAUGCCCGCUCUGCCCCGUACCGCCGCCGCCGUCGCCCACCACUACACUCGCCUCAUCACCGCCGCCGCCUCCUCCUCCCCGGCCUCCCUCCGCGCCCUCCUUCCCAUCCACGCCCGCGCCGUCGUGCUCGGCGUAUCCACCAACCCGGCCUUCGCCACCAGCCUCCUCGCCGCCGCGGCGCCCGCCUCCCUCGCCUACGCGCGCAGGGUGUUCGACGCCGCGCCUGAGCGCGAUGCCUACAUGUGGAACACCCUCCUCCGCGCGCACGCCCACUCCCAGUCGCACGCCGUGGACGCCCUCGCCCUCUACAAGCGGAUGCGCGCUGCGGGCGUCGCGCCGGACCACUACACCUACCCGAUCGUGCUCCCGGCCUGCGCGGCUGCCCGCGCGCCGCGGCUCGGGAGGGCAGUGCACGGCGACGCGGUGCGGUUCGCGCUCGCCGGGGACGGGUUCGUGCGCAGCGCUCUCAUCGCGUUGUACUUUCAGGAGGGGGAGGUGGCAGACGCCGAGCAGGUCUUUGGUGAGGGCCAUGGCUCUUCCCGGACGGUUGUGUCGUGGACGGCCAUGGUUGCUGGAUACGCGCAAAAUUACUUCUUUGGCGAGGCAGUUGCGCUGUUCGGCAGGAUGAUUGCUGAGGGUAUGCUUCCGAAUGAGAUCACUCUGAUCAGUUUCUUGCCCUGCUUGCAGGGCCAAGAAUGGCUGGAUGCUGGGGAGAUGGUUCAUGGGUUUGUGAUCAAGUUUGGAUUUGAUGCAAACGUUCAGCUUGUUAAUGCACUCAUCGCGAUGUAUGGGAAGUGUGGGAGCAUUGCCAUGGCAGAAGCUCUGUUUGAGGGAAUGACGGUCCGCAGUCUGGUUUCCUGGAACACAAUGGUCGCGAUGUAUGAGCAGCAUGGUGAUGCAGUUGAGGCAAUCAAGUUUUUCUGCAGGAUGCUGACUGAGAAGGUGGGGUUUGAUUUUGUGACUCUUGUCAGUGUUCUGUCAGCGUGCGCACGCUCAGGAGCCCUCGACACUGGCAAGUGGGUGCAUGAGUUUGCCCGGAAUCAUGGGCUUCACACAGAUGCAAGGGUCGGUAAUGUUCUUGUCGACAUGUAUGCAAAGUGCGGUGAGAUUGCUAAUGCAAGGGAGGUCUUUGACUGUUUGCAUGUACGGGGUGUUGUGCCCUGGAGUGCCAUGAUAAACGCAUAUGCCAACCAUGGGGAGUCUGCAGAGGCUCUCAAGCUCUUCUCCCUGAUGAAAAGUGAUGGGGUGAGGCCUAAUUCAUUCACAUUUACUGCGGUACUAGUGGCUUGUCGCCACUCAGGCCUUGUGGAUGAAGGACUGAAGCAUUUCAACAGCAUCCUGACAGACUACCAGAUGUCACCAACACUUGAGCACUACGCCUGCAUGGUUGACAUGCUAGGGCGUGCUGGUAGACUUGUCGAAGCAUAUGAAAUCAUCAGGAAAAUGUCAAUACGCCCAGACAAGUGUGUGUGGGGUGCAUUCCUUGGUGGUUGUAGGCUUCAUGGCAAUCUGGAGCUAGCUGAAUUUGUUGCCAAGGACCUCUUCCAGUCAGGCUCCCAUGAUGUCACAUUCUAUGUUUUGAUGUCAAACUUGUACUUUGAAGCUGGAAUGCUGGAAGAUGCGGAAAGGAUAAGAAGGACCAUGAAGGAGAUGGAACUCAAGAAGACAGCUGGUCGUAGUGCAGUAAACCAAUAGGGAAAGAAGGGACAUCAUGAGGUAGCAAACUUGUACAAUUUGUACUUCCUAUAUUAGUUAGCUUGAUCAUUGCUGAUUAUAUGCACUAACAUGCAUUUUUGAUGGUCAAAUUGCUUCAUCUGUAGUUCCUGUAGGCUAUAUGGCACGAUAGUUAUGAAUUGAACACAUAGUCCUGUCCUUUCAUUAACCAUUUUAUCCUAGAUGUCUAAUGGCUUUCUAUCCAUCCAUAAACUAGAUCUGAUGAUAUCCUCUUCUGGGUCUUCAUAGGACUUGAUUUUGGUGUCAUUGUCAUAUCAAGCAACAAAAACAUUUGAAAUGCAUCUGGCUGACAAAUAGGAAUCCACCAUCGGGAUGUUUUUUUUUUUGAGGUCAACCAUGGGGAUGGGUUCAAUCGGUUUGUCUACUUCUAAGCUGUGCCCAACCUAACCCAUGCCAUAGGAUUCCAACUGAUCGACAAAUAGGAUUCCACCAUGGGGAUGGGUACAAUGAGUUUCUUCUAGUUCUAAGCUUCACCAACCUAGCCCAGUAGCCCACGUCGUGGGAUUGCAGGCUGAACCAGGAAAACAGCUAUGGGUCCUGUCUGGGUUGGUUCGGGCGGAGCUAGGUAUAUUCCUGGGUAUUCCCAACAUAUUUUGCAAAAGAUCAACUAGAUGUAUGUUUCUUAUAUGAUUAUUUAGCCAACACACUCAUCUAUCCAUCUUGAGUCUUGCAAAUCGCCUCUGACUCCAUCUCCUCACUUCUCCUUAUGCGUUCUCUAAAUUUUAAAGACUUGAUCAAAGGGAGAGACGUCCCCUUGACUAGAUUCCUUCCCUUGAUAAAAAAGAAAUUAUGUCCUUGACUUUCGCCUGAAGAUAGGGGCCCACCGAACCCGGAAAGCAGGUAGGGAUCUCACGCAGUCGCGGAGUCCGCUGCUCGUCUGCGUUCUCUAAAUUUUAUGGCAUAAUUUUGCAGCAUAGUUGAACCAUUUUCUCUAUAUCAGUGGUGAUUUGGUCAUGCAUGUCUUUAGUAUAAGCCAUUUGCGCAGCAAUUUAUACUCGCAUUUUUUUUUUUGGUGUUUGUAACUUUUACUGUUGGGAAUACCCAAGCCGAAAAUUCUGGCUCCCCCACUGGUUCGGCCGUUUGAACGGGACCCAACCAGUUAACAGGCCUAGCUGCUGGAAUUGGUUCAGCCCAGCAACAAGAAAACAAAAGAGAGAUGGACUAGCCCAAUAAAGGGAAUAAUUUUGGCCUAGUCAAGGAGCUUUUAUAAAUUACCAGGGUUUUCUAUAACCUAGUUUCAAACUAAGUAUUUUUUAUGGAAUUUUAAAAUACAUUUUUCUCACAAUAAACACCUGAUGCAAACUAUGCCACUUGAAUGCAACACUUUAAAAAUAUAUAACCUGUAUGGAUUAUUUUUUUAGGAAAUAUAUACUUAUUUCCCGUAAUAAAAUGUCUUCUAAUUAACUAAUGUUGGUUAUCUGAUGGAUACUGUGUGAAACGUAAUGCAAUGUUUUGCUGGAUAUUUUCCUCGUGGAAUUCUUGAUGUUGCCUGUGUUGAUUUCUAAUGUUAGGGAUGUUGUUUUUUAAUGUUGCGGGGACUAUCGGAGCACCUCAUGAGAAAUUCUCGAUUGUGGGCAUCCAGGCACUAGCAAUUCCGAUUUUCUGAACUUUUUUUGGGCAGAGGCUAUCUCAUGAACAGGGCACCACAGGCACAUUUUUGCAAGAUUGCAGAGUGCGGUCACAUCAAGUCAGCGAUUUCUAUCGACUUCAUUAUUUUGUUAUUUUUUUCUUUUUAUUUGGUUAAUUGAUCACAAGCCAAUAAAAGGUCUGCUUAUCAUGAAACAAACAGCAUGAGAAAAAUCCAUCAACCAUCUUUUAUUUAUCGAAGAUACAUAUGUCAAGGUGAUGACACACUUCGAUCGAUUUUAUUCGCCAGGGGGUGUUUUCUUUGGAACUCUUUGUUACUCACUCCAUCAGCGAUGUCCGCGAUCCACUUACACCACGACCUAGGCAAGGAAAAGAGACAAAAUGCCACAGUUCCUAUCACAUCGCAAUAUUUAGAUACUAAUUAAGAAUAUUAAACAAAGACUAUUUAAAAAACUUAUUGCACAGAUGAAGGCUAAACGGCGAGAUGAAUCUAUUAAGUCUAAUUAGUCCAUGAUUUGAUAAUGUGCUACGACAGUAACCAUUUGCUAAUGAUGCAUUAAUUAGGCUUAAUAUAUUCGUCUCGCCGUUUAAACUCUAUCUAUGUAAUUAGUUUUAUAAUUAACUUAUAUUUAGUCCUCCUAAUUAGUCUCCGAAUAUUCAAUGUAACACGGACUAAACUUUAGCUUCAGGAUCCAAACGCCCCUUAGAAGGAACAAUCAACGCAAUUUCCUACGUCUCAUCAGAAAAUAAAUGGUUCGCCAAAUUCGUACCUGUCGACGACGUUUCAGCUCGCAGAAAUGUUUGAGUUGCACGAUCUUGUCUCCACUAAGAUUUUGUCCUUCUGCUCCUUGGUACAUGUACCGACCACUAUGUGGGGAUACAUUGUCAGACACACAAGCAGUAGAGCUGCUACUUUCACGGGCAACAUCUUAGUAGCAGGAUCUAUCGGUGCUAAUCUAAUAGGUGGUGACUAACUCUGAUGCAGGAACUACAGCACAUGGACAACUAUUUAUAUAGAGGGAGAGACAGGAAGGAAUGCAUUCACCAACCUCUCUAUAUUAAUGGAAAAUUAAAUAAGUGCUCAAAUCCUUCAGUAUAGUGCAAUAUGCAUGGAUACUCCUAUAUAUUGGACGGAUACGCUUCAUUUAUAGAGAAUAUAAUAUGGAUACUCCUACGUACGAGGGCGGAUACGCUUCAUUUAUAUAGAAUAUAUCUAUGUGGAUUUCGAACGUUUAUUUACUGAGGAAUAUAGUCAUGUUUAAUUUCAUAGAAUCCUCGCUCCCCGUUUAGUUCAUUUAUUAGGAGCCAUGGAAUAAAUGAUUAGUCGAUUUAAUGGACUUUAGUUAAUAAAUGAGUUAAGACAAAAAGGGUUAGAUGGAUGCGCUCAUCUAAUAUGAGUAAUCCUGCUGAGAUUUUCAAUGUUACACGCAAAAGACGCCACGUAUAUGUAUGUAUGGCAACAACGGAUUUGAUAUGAAUGAAAUUGUCCAUAUUUUGGUAUGUCUCUACAAUUAGCGUUGCUACCUCACCAAGUCCUUUCUCUUUUAUAAGAAACACCCAAAGGCAUUUCCGAUUUAGUAGUUUUGGUAAUACGUCAAGGAGUACAAUGAUCUAGAAAAGACCCAAAAUGCAAAGGAUAUCAAAAGAUGGACUCUACUUUCAUUGAUGCUACAUGCGGCGAAACACUAUCCUUGCCCCUAGAAAGUUUACUGAUGGAAGAAAGCAGCUCGAAGAUCUGCUUCACACACUACAUGAGAACGAACUCACCAAGCAGGGCUACGAUAGCCGCAGUAGAUGCCCGCCACUGGAUUGAAGACGGAACAAAGCCAUCACUGAACGUACAUCGCCUCUGGCCGCGCCCCACCACAGCUCCACUACCGAAGAACCAGAGAGAAAGGGGACGAGCUCCAAUUAUUGAAGCCCGACAAGAGUAUGAGCUGGAUUCUUUUAUUGUCAAUCUACUGUAAUUCCUCUAUUGUAUUCCAUUAUAGACGCCCUCAACACCUCGAGUACGAAUUCUAUGAAUUAUUUCCCAUCACAGGGUUCCAGAGAAUAAUGAACAACCAUAAUAUAUGAAUACUUUUAAAACCCAUAUAAAUCCCAGUGUCUCCCACUUGACUAAAACAUUUUGAUGUCAUUGUCACAUCGGAGCAACAAAAACAUUUGAAAUGCGUUUUGCCAACAAAUAGAAAUCUUCCACGAGGAUGGGUUCGAUUCAGUUUUACUUCUAAACUACGCCCAACUAGCCAUGCCACGGUUGAUGGUCAAAUAGGAAUCCACCAUGGGGGACGCAUACAAUCAGUUUCUAGUUCUAAAUCUACACCCAACCUAAUCCAUGCCGUGGGAUUGCAGGCUGAAUCUAUAAAACAGCUAUGGGUCCUGUCUGGGUUGAUUUGGUGAUUUGAACAGGUUGAACCUAACCUGUGAACAGGACUAUCUGCUAGAAUUGGAUCAGCCCAGAAACGAGAAGAAAUAAAAAGAGGAUAGAAAAGAGAUAUGGACUACGCCAAGGAAUGGAAUAAUUUUGGCCUAGUCAAGGAGCUUUUUAACCUAAUUUCAAACUAAACAAUUCUAUUGAAUUUUAAAAUACAUUUUUAUCACAAUAAACACCUGACGAUGCAAACUAUGCCACUUGAAUCCAACAAUUAAAAAAUAUAUAACCUAUAUGGAUUAUUUGUUUAGGAAAUAUAUACUUAUUUCCUAUAGUUAAAGGUCUUGCUAAUUAACUAAAAUUGGGCCUGUGAUGGAUACUGCUGCAUUGAACAUAAUGCACUUGUGCAAUUGAAUGCACUCUGUGAGUGAAUUGUUACCAUUUUCUUGAUGUUGCGCAUGUUGGUUAUUCCUAAUGUUGGAGGAUGUUAUUUUUUUAUUGUUGCGCAAACCUACUGGAGAUCUUCAAGAGAAAUUACCAAUUCCAGGCACUAGCAAUUCCAAAUUUUAAACAUUUUUUGGGCAGACACUAUGUGUCACACCCGGUUUUAAAACAAAACCAAGUGCUACCUAUAUGUAUGCUAAGAUCUAGUUUCAUAAAUAUAGUGAUAUCAUAAGUGAAUAACAAUAACAGUAUCACAUAAAGAAAUAUAAAUAAUGACUUACGAGUCUAUCAGAGAUAUACAGCUUAAUCCUAGAAAUAGAGGCUCCAAACUUCACAAGCAAUCGACUAGGGGCUGCGUAUGCUUAGAACUCAGCAUCAUCUUCAGAAAACUUCGUACACCUUCUUCUUCUGAUCAGCAGUAAGUAAGGGUGAGUAUACUUAUGGUUGGUACUCAACAAGGCCAUAAGAAAUAACUAGAAUAACAAUUUAAGUCCAUCUUCAAGUUAUUAAUCAUGUGAGGGUUUAGGCCACUCUUGACCGUGAGCACGGCUCAUAUAUCAGUUUUACAAUCUGCAGAGGUUGUACACUUUCACCAUAAGUCGCGUAAAAGUUCAAAAGAACUUUGGAUCCAACCAUGCUAUGCAAAAGUAAGCACUUAUCACACUACCGAGGUGUGACUGCAUAGGGACGCUAUGAGGCCUUUACAAACAUUCCCUAGUAGUAGUAGUCCGCUAAGGUUUCGAUAGUUGCGUGUGCAUAACACUCCCCAAAGGUGAGUAUCUACAAAGAGAAUACCACUCAAAGGAGCGAGCUAUACCCCAUCACAAGACCCCCUCUUGCCCUUUUGGUAAGACCACCACAAACCAGGGUCUUUAAUUAAUUAGCCAAGAUCAGAGUCCGUUGAUCUUAUGGUUGUACUGUUUUUCUGGUGGCAGUUCAUGUUCCAAUUAACAUUAUCAUAGUAUUAUAAAUAAGCAUAGAAAGAAGGAUGGUUAGGGAUGCUUGCCUUUCUCCAAAGAAAAGUUACUCUUACUGUUUUUCAGCUCUUGCUCUCUUGAAACCCUUAAUCUUCAAAUCUUUCAAACAACGAUCCUUCUACUCAAAGCAAUCAUCGGCACUAAUAUACAAGCAAACAAACAAGUAAAACUAAAAAUAAUACACCAAAACAAAAGAAAAGUUUUAAAAGAACGUACUAAAGGAUAGGGCUUGAUUCUAAGAUCACGUGAACGCAAGGAACUAAGGUUGUCGAAACGAGAUGGGGUUUGCGAUGUUGGAAGGAGGACGUUAAGGAGAUCACCGGAAAGUAUUUAUAAGCCCGGUUGGAGUCCGGAUUUAUUUUCCUCUUUUUUCUAAUUUCAGGAAUUAAUUUUGGAUUUAAAAACAAUUCCUUAAAAUCCUAAAAUCGUAAUUAAAUCAUGAAAAAUACUUUGAAAGCUCCGAAAAAUUUAGGAAAAUUCCUGGAGAUGAUUUGGGACACAAGGAACCCAAAUAAAAUACUUGGGGCGCCUAGAAAGACUUGUAGAACUAUCCAAAAAUUGGAAUAACCUCUAGGAAAAUGAGAAUAAAUUUCAGAAAAAUCUGGAAAAUUCUUAGAGAAACCUAAUCAUCGUCUGAACGCACUUUUAAACUUUUUCACACUCAGAGAAUAAGAAAUGCAACUAGUGUGAAUGCAACACACAUAAACCUAUGAUUCAUUAAGUUAAUUUAGAAAAAAAAAUUAAUGCCUAAUAAAUUCACAAAGAAACCUUAAGACCUUAAACGAACUCAAACAAAUUCUAGAGGAAUUCUAAUUAAUUUUUAUUAACUUGCAAAUGAGGGUGUUACACUGGAAUAUGUCGCGCUAUAUUAUAAACAGGGCACCACAGGCAUAGUUUUGCAAGAUUUCAGCGUGCGGUCACAUCAAGCUAGCAAAUUCUCUCGACUUCAUUAUUUUGUUAUGUUUCUUUUUUUUUGCUUUUAUUUAGAUUAUUGAUCAAAAGCCAAUAAAAGGUCUUCUUAUCAGGAACCAAACAGCAUAAGAAAAAUCCACCAACCAUCUUUUAUUUUAUCGAAGACACACAUAUUUUUUGAUAGAAUCUAAGAUAUAUAUAGGUGACGACACUUUGAUCGAUUUUAUUAGCCAGAAGGUAUCUUCUUUGGAACUCCUUGUUACUUGAUGCACUCCCAUCAGCGAUGUCCGCAAUCCACUUACGCCACGGCCUAGGCAAGGAAAACAGACAAAAGGGCGAGUGUUAGAAGGAACAAUCAAUGCAAUUCCCUACUUCUCAUAGCUUAUCAUCAUUAGCACCGGCUUAAUUAACAGCAGAAAAUAAAUGUUUCACCUGUCGACGACGUCUUGGCAUGCAGAAAUCUCUGAGGCCCUUGAUCUUGUUUUCAUCGUAGUUCUUCUUCUCUCCAGCUGUAAGCAGGUCGACGAUGCAUUCCAUGUCCAUCAUUGGCACCUCUCUCGCCGCUAUGCAACAGGCGGCAUGUGGAUCCCUGGGAAACGGAUGGGGUGGUCCAUGACCAAUGAAUUUUUUACAGUCCACUAUGAUUCUGUUCUUCUGCUCCUUGGUACAUGUACCGACAACUAUGUGGGGAUACAUUGUCAGACACACAAGCAGUAGAGCUGCUACUUUCACGGGCAACAUCUUAGUAGCAGGAUCUAUCAGUGCUAAUCUAAUAGGUGGUGACUAACUCUGAUGCAGGAACUACAGCAUAUAGACUCCUAUUUGUAGAGAGGAAGGAAGAGGAAGCAAUGCAUUCACCAACCUCCUAUAUUAAAGGUUGCUCAAACCCUUCAGUAUAGUGGAAUAUGUGGAUACUUGUAUAUAUGGAGCGGAUACGCUUCAUUUAUAGAGAAUAUAAUAUGGAUACUCCUAUGUACAAGGGCGGAUACGCUUCGUUUAUAGAGAAUGUAAUAUGGAUACUCCUAUAUAUUUGGGUGGAUACGCUUCAUUUAUAUAGAAUAUACAUGUGGAUUUCGAACGUUUAUUUACCGGGGACAUAGUGGGUGUUUGGUUCCUUUAGUCCAUAGACUAAACUUUAGUCCCUACCCUGUUUGGUUCCAUAGAUUAAAGUCCAUUAAUAUAGUUGAACAAAGAUCCUUUUACCCCUCCCACCUCUCAUCUAUCUUCCCUUGUCCCUUCGCUGCUCACCUUCAUCCCUCCUCUCUCCCUCCCGUUGAGAGACUGGCUUCUCACCCGUCGAUCCAUCGAAUCCAGCAAAGGAGGCCCUUUUACCCCUCCCACCUCUCAUCUAUCUUCCCUUGUCGUCACCUUCAUUCCUCCUCUCUCCCUCCCGUUGAGAGACUGGCUUCUCACCCGUCGAUCCAUCGAAUCCAGCAAAGGAGGCCCGAUGUAGGCAGCAGGCCCUGCGAAUGGCGGCCAACUUCAGAUCGAUGGAGAGGCGUGCGCUAGGAGGCGGCAGUCAUGGCCUCCUUUGGAUCUCACUCUCGGAUGCACGGGGGCCAGCGGCGUGCGGACCGGCGGGCCGGAGCACGGCGAGCUGCGGCCGGGCAAGCGGUGGCGGAGCGAGGUCCAGUGCGGACGGGCAAGCCAUGGUGGUGGCGCCUCUCCCGAUGUGCGGCGGCAUCCUCGCGCCGCGCCAUGGUGACCUGCACGACGCUGCUCCCGACCGUAGCGGAGGAGGACCACGAGGAUGAGGAGAGGCGGCGCGGGCUCCUGACAGCCGCGGGCGACAGCGACGUGAGGCGGCGUGGGUUGUCGAUGGCACGAAGGAAGCGGACCGCCUGGGCUCGGUCCCCGGCACUGUCAAACAACAUCGGCGGGAGGGAGGCCGGCGGGGGCAGGGCGGGAGGCCAGCGGCGGGGGUGGCGGAGGGAUGCCGGCGGGGGCCGGGCGGGAGGGAGGCCGAUGGCGACAGCGGUGGGCAGGAGGGUGGCGGGCGCCGGGCGGGAGGUGGCAGGAGGGAGCCGGGUGGGAGGAUGGGCAAUAAAUAAGGGGUAGGGGUGUCCCAACACACUUUAGUCCAGUUUAGUCCACCUCAUGUGGACCUAGAGGACUAAAGCUUUUAGUCCAAACUUUAGUCCACCUAUUUGGAUGUUUAUAGGGACUAAAAAUGCAUAAAAAUAGUGGACUAAAGUUUAGUCCGUAGGAACCAAACAGGCUCGUAGUCAUGUUUAAUUCCGUGGAAUCCUUGCUCCCAGAAUAGUCCAUUUAUUAGGGUGCCAUGAAAUAAAUGAGUAGUUGAUUUAAUGGAUUUAGUUAAUAUAAAUGAGCUAAUAUCAAAAGGAUUAGCUUAGCAUGGAUAUGCCCUCAUCUAAUAUGAGUAAUCGUGCUGAGAGUUUCAAUGUUGCAUAUAUAUAAGAGGCGCCACGUAUAUGUAGGGCAGCAACGGACUUUAUACGAAUCAAAUUUUCAAUAUUUUGGUAUGUCUCUACAAUUUCUACCUAGAAAAAAUUGCCUGAACGUUGCUACCUCACCGAGUCGUCCUUUUUUAUAUAAGAAAAACCCAAAGGAAUUUGCGAUUUAUUUCUUAUAAUACAUCAAGGAGUACAAUGAUCCAGAAAAGACCCAAAAUACAAAGGAUAUCAAAAGAAGAACAUGGUCUUUGACUCUAUCGAUGCUAAACUGGACCAUCCUUGCUACCUCAUCGAUGCUACACGCGGAGAAACACCAUUCUUGCCCCUGGACCAUUAACUGAUUGAAGAAAGCAGCUCGGAGAUCUUCGUCACACACUGAGCAUGGCUACGAUAGCCGCAGUAUAUGCCCGCCACCGAAGACUGGACAAAGCCAUCACUGAAUGUACAUCGGCUGGAGCCGUGCCCCAAGGGAAGCUUGCCGCAGCUCCACCACCGAAGAACCAGAAUAGGAGCUCCAACCUGAAGCUCGACAAGAAUAGGAGCUGGAUCUAUUGCUCCUCCAUUAUUAGCAGAGAAUAUAUGAAUAAUGAACCACAAUAUAUGAAUACUUUUCAAACUAAAAAAAUUCCUGUGUCUCCCACUUGACUAAAACAUUUUAAUUUAUAAAAUGGUCGAAGUUCCGUAUGUGUAACAUAUUUAUAAAAUAAUUUCUGAUUUUAGUUAGUGAACCUGCAACUAUACUAGUACAAUUAGAAGUAAACCAAACUCUAUGUGUUCACUUCACCGUGAAUUCCAAAACAAGUAACACGUUGUGAUAAGUUUUGAUGGCUUUAUAUUAUAUAUACAAGAAAUUCUGUUAUCCACACACCAUCCUUUUCACAGCUUUAGGGGGUGUUUACUUUCACCUUGCUAAACUUUAGUUACUAAAGUUUAUGGUUGCUAAAACUUGCUAAAAGGUGGGCUGGACAACAUAUACCUCUCAUUUAUUGCUUGUCUCCCCCUCCUGCGCACCUUUAAUAAGGGUAGAUAGGUCCUUUUACAGCUCAUUAAAUGCCUUUUAGCAAGAGUAUCCAAACAGCUUUUGCUAAGUUUAGCAACUUUUAGCAACUAAAGUUUAUCAAGUGGAAGUAAACACCCCCUUAGAUAGAUGCAGCAUGUAUAAAAAUAACAAAAAGGUAUUAAUAUACGAUUCCUCAUUGAUAUUGAUUCCCUUUCCAUAGAUGCAUUAGCAAGUUUGCAAGUUUCCAUAGAGACUUAUUUCAAAAUAAAUGAAGAACCCCAUUGUUCCGAUCUCCGUGUAUUUCCACAACUAAAACAUGGGAAGGUUACCCCACAACUAUCAUUUUGAAACAAGAAUACAGCCAAGCAUUAACCUUGUCAAGUGUGAUUUUACCAUAUGUUGCGAUGUGUUAUCAACACAAAGAUGGUAUGCUCCUUGCCUUUAAAAAUAUAAGGUGGGUUAAAAAGAGAGUCGAACUUUAUAAACUUUGAUCAAUAAGUAGCUAGUCUAAUUAUUUGCAUGAUUAGUAUAUAAACGUUGUAAACGUAGAUUCACAUUUAAAAUAUCUUUUAAGAAAACUCGAUUUUGUAGCAAUUGAUUGUAUAUUGUAAGAAUAAUUUGGUGGUCAACGUAUACUUCUAAAGAUUUUUCUGAAUCCUGAUACACUUUAUAAAAUGAGUAACAAAAGCUUUCUAGCAACAAAUUAAUUACAAAUAUAUGCAACAAUAAGGUGAUGCGUCAUUAAGAAAUGACAUGACAUAAUAGCAUAUUGGUAAAAAGCUUAUACACCACUGACGUGAAGCUUGUUGGAAAGAAAUUCAUAUAUUCAAUUUGCAAUCAAGAUACUAUAUAUCUUCAAUUCUUUUCAUCAAUCCAAAUUCCUUGGUUUGACCAUGGCUACACGACAUCUUACCUAGCAACAGAACACUUUGGGCUCUUGCUGUUACCUUCUGAGUGAUCAAAAGGAGUGCCGCAUCAUAUAUCUGCAUGCACUUCAGCUCAUGCAAAUCUUUAUUUCAAAUCAGAAGUAAAGGUACACCCAUCCGGCCGUGAUGAACUAUUGAAUUUUCCUAGCUUGGUGUUUCGUCUUUCUAGGCACUUAGGCUAGGGCGGGAGGUACGCUGUUCCUUACUGUAGUGAAGGUCUCAAAUCCUGAUGUACUAUGGAGCCCAGGUGUCAACUCAUCAAAUUCGGCAUUUAGAUAGUAUGGGCAAUCUCACAUUUUAAAAAACGGAUCGAGGAGCUCAUUUGCAUCGUAUCUGAUCUUGAAGUGGGCCGGAGAAGAAAUGAUGGUUUUGAGUGAUUGGGUAUUUUCUGCAGUUCUGCACUAAACCAUUUUGGUUUUCCAAGUCAUCUGAUUAGGGAUCCGCUUGGUUGGCUGCCAAACUUUGUAACACCAAAAACGUUAUUAGGCAUGUCACUGUUUCUUACAUGACUGUUUGGUUUACUGUUGCAAACUGUGGCUUUCCAAAAAAUGGGACGUGAUUUCUCCUCACCAUCCAAUUUCAAUUGGUUUGGUUUUGCCUUUGGUUAAGCGAUGAUUCUUGUUGUGAAUAUAUCGACUUUAAGCACCAACUGGAUAGCAUUAGAGCUUAUCGCCUAGCUCUGACCUUGGUUCUGCUAAAAAGGAAUUGCGUGGUAGUGUGGAGGAAAGCAAAGAUUGAAGAUUGUUCUCAUAAGCAUCAUAGAUUCCUUAUUAGGUGACCACCAGUGCUCAUCCCAUUGUGCCAUCUUUAUAGAUGCUCCUGCAUGCACAGGAAUUGCACUACAAAUAUCACUGCUAGUUCGACAAAGAAGGUGAAGCAUGGUUAGAGAAAAUUAUUCCACUUAACUCGUUGAUUCAUAAUAAAUAAGUGCUAAUCAAGUAUCGUAUUAGAACCACGAUCAAUUAUAAGUAUGAUAUCAAUGCAACGAGGUAAAAAAAAAUGGAAUAUCGAUUUUCAGUGCAAAAGGCUACAUUUGUAGUUUUUCUGAUAAAGUUCCUUAAAUCUGAAGCCUUGUUUUUUUCUUUUCCUUUUUUUGCAAUUGAAUUGCCAAUCUUGAGCAAGAUCGGUAGCACCAACAGGAUAUAUCGACAAUGACUACCACUACCUAGCUAUGAGUUUGUGACUGCUCAAAAGCACUGUAGCUUCAUAGAUCCUUAGAUGAGUAUCAGUGCUCAUCGCAUUGGCAUGUCAUGCCAUCCUUAUUUCAAAUCAGAAGUAAAGGUAGCCCUGAGGGCUGUUGAAGUUGCCAAGUUAGGUCAGUUACUGUAACUUGUAAAUACUGCACCUAGUAAGGUAGCCAUUGUGGCCUCUCUUGGAUGCAUGGACAGGGCUCCUACCCUUGCAUUCUUCUGGGGAAGAAAAUAAAAGCUGUUGACUGUUUUCUUUUGCUGGUUAGCACUAAAACUUGUUGUACCCUAAGUACAUGUAUAUACAAUUAUACAGCACUAAAGUUGUAGAAAUUAGAAACUUACCAGUUAGACAAAGCUCUAACCACUUCACCCAUAACUCAGUCAGCAUCUAAUCAGGUCAUUGGGUUAGCACACCGAUCAGGAUAAAAAAAACAUGUCAAGUUAGUUCAGUCAAUCAAGACGAGAAUGGCCAAGCAAUGCCUGGAUGGUUAGUGUAGGUUGGUUGCACCCGCUACCUGAUAGAGAUUAUAGCUCUGGUUUGGCAUCCCGUCUGUCUCAUUGAAUGCACCUGCAUAUACACUAUGUCUAGAUACAUAGUAAAAGUUUUGCAUUUAGAAAAAUUAAAAAAAAUACUCCCUCCGCUUCAAAUUGUAGGUCGUUUUAAUUUUCUAGGUUCAUAGUUUUUAUUAAACCAUAUAUCUAGAAAAUCUAGAACGACCUAUAAUGGGAGGAAAUAGUAAUUUAGGAUGGAGGGAGUAGUAAGCAAUGUUCCUAUCAACUAUAACUAUAACGCAAGUGAAGAGACAUUUUUUUUUUGAAGUAGCAAGUGCAGAGACUUCAUUAAUCUCAAAUUAUAUGUACAUAGGUGUAAGUAUGUCUGCAUGCGCUACGUGCCGCUGUACAGUGUUUAUAAAAAGGCAGUGACUCAAAUCACCACAUCAGUGAAGAAUGAUCGCAAGCUAAUCAUUCAGCCAGAUCGGAUCUGCACAGCAGGAACUUCACCAUACAAAGAUUGUUCCAUUUCGAGAGCAGCAUGUGUAACCAACACAAGAAAAAAGUUCUCAUGAACGCACGGGACACGUAAGACAAAUGCGAAAUAACAAAACUUGAUCUGCCUUUUUAUUGGCUUUUCAUCACCUUUGUUCGGCAUGCGCCAUUCUGCAGGAAUGUUUUCCCAACUUUUUAUACAUGAUGGACCAUUCCUUGCUCUACGUCUGCUCAUGGAUCUUCUUUAUAAGAGAGUUGAGCCCACGUCCCCACUCCCCACUCCCCACCAUGCAAUGCUCCAUGAAAGUGGAGGAGCAUUCGGAGCCAUUCGAUCGCAAGCGAAAUGGCUGAUCUAUAGUCAUAUAUGGCAAGUUCAUCGCAAGUCUCUAAACCUUAACCGCAUCAGCUUGCCCGUCACUGCAACAAACAAUGUUCGCUAGCUGAGUAAAAUAUACUGGCGGUUCUGAACUUAUCUUGGUAUCAUCCAAGUCCCUGAACUCUCAAUAUGAAUUUUCAAAUCCCCAAACUUAUUUUAAUGUGUCAUUUGGGUCCAUAAACUCUCAAAGUGCAUAUUUAGGCCCCCCAAACUUGUCCUCGGGUUUCAUCUGGAUCCCUAAACUCUCAAAAUAUAUUUUUAAAUCUUAAAACUUGUCACAUGUUGCUGAUGGCAAUGCUUCCUUCUUGCUUGUUGCCUUCCCAACCACCUUAUACUAGUGAUUGCACAUGUGUUGCUUGGCGCUUGAUUGGGGAUCUUAAAAUGCACUUUGAGAGUUUAAGGACUUGUAUGACACCCUUAGACAAAUUGGUGGAUUUUUGAAAGUUUAGAGACUCGGAUGGCAUCUUGAGAUAAGUUAAUGGACCUGAAAAUGCAUUUUGAGAGUUUACAAAUCUAAAUGACACUCAUGAUAAGUUUAGAGACCGCUCGUAGUAUUUUACUUUUCGCUGGCUUAUCGGCGUGUCUUGGCCGAACAUGCAUGCCUGUAGCUGUGACAUGGCAAGACACUGGUGAAAUGCAAAAGCAUUACUCCACAAAACACUCGCAACGGUCUGUUUCCAACUGCCAUUACGCCUAUAAAUCAACAGCAGAGACCCAAGUGCUGAACUUGCACCGAGCAAAGAAGAACACGCGCAAGCAGCUUAUUAGCUUCAAAAGUGGUAGGGCAAGCUCCGGAAGAGGCGACAUGCGUGGGCUACGGCCAUGGUCGCGCAACAUUGCGGCGGUGCUGCUAGCUCUCGCGACGGUGGUGUCUGCCACUGCCGCCGGAAAGAAAGAUGAAGCGGUGGUGGCGAGGGGCAACUACAAUGUGGCGGUCGUCGACGUCUCGAGGAUUACUAUCUCAGCGGCUGCGGCGCCGUCGAGCAUGAACGUCUCAGCCAUCUGCCAGUCGACGCCGUACCCGAGCGCGUGCGAGACGGCGCUCUCGUCGCCAGGGCCGGCCAGGGACGACCCGUUCGCGGCGUCCGUGCAGUUCGCGAUGGCCCGGGCCGCGUCGGCGCGGACGCUGGCGCGAAACGUCUCGGGUGCCUCUCGGUCCACGCCCCACCGCGGCGCGCCGCCGUCGGGCGUGAUGGACUGCGCGGAGCUGCUCGACAUCAGCGUCGCCCAGCUCGGCGACGCGCUCGCCGCCGCCGCCGGCGACGCGGACGGUGCGACCACGUGGCUCAGCGCCGCGCUUACGAACCAGGGCACGUGCGCCGACAGCCUCGCCGCCGAGCCGGACCCCGCGGGGCGCGACGCCGUGCGCGCGCGUAUCUCCGCGCUCACGCAGUUCAUCGCCACGGCGCUGGCCCUGCACGCCAGCAAGCUCAAGCCAGACGCGAGCGGCGGCCCACCGCCGACGCCACCGGUGACGACGACGUUCCCGUCAUGGGUGUCCCAGCAUGACAGGAAACUCCUUCGUUCUCCCGUAGACAGCGUCGCCAUUGAUGCGGUGGUGGCGCUCGACGGCAGCGGGACGCACAGGACCAUCAACGAGGCGAUCGCGGCCGUGACGGCUGCGAAGGGCGGCGGUGGUGGCGGCGGAGGGAGGAAGGUGAUCCACGUGAAGGCCGGGCGGUACGAGGAGAGCGUGAGCAUCUCCAGCAAGCAAAAGAACGUGAUGCUGAUGGGCGACGGCAAGGGGAAGACGGUGAUCGCCGGCCACAAGAGCGCCGCCGACGGCUACACCACCUACGCCACCGCCACCGUCGGUACGUGCUAUACGUCGGCAUCUAUCUGCUCAUGCACAAAAGCUACACAUACCUACAUGCAAAAGUUGCAACAGACCACACUUCAUGUUUGGAGAGAAGAGUAAAUUCAAAUCUUCUUCUUUUAGACAAAGUAAAUUUAAAUCUUCAACCUACUUUACUUGCACAUGGCCUUGAGGCCGAGGCCCAAAAUGGUAGGGUUCUUGCAAUUAUUUGGUUUCGAUUUGGUCGUUAGAUGCCUGCACUUUUCUAGGCUUUGCUGCCAUCUCGUCUACAUGUAGCACACGAAUACCAGUAGCUACGCUGCCUACGCAUCAAUGCAUGGUUCGUGGUUGUAACAACAUGGAGCACCGUCGUCAAAUGCAGCGUCGACAGCGACGUUUCACUUGCCAUGUCGCCCACUCUUCACCCCUUUCUCCUUUGUGCUCGACAGUACACUCUCCCAUUGUCUUCCAUACAUUCUCACACCUUAAACCUUUACUUUGUGAUCUUUGCGUGUGGUACAGCUGCAAUGGGCUCGGGCUUCAUCGCCAAGGGCCUCACCAUCAUCAACAGCGCCGGGCCGGGGAAGGGCCAGGCCGUGGCGCUGCGGGUCGGCGGCGACCUCUCAGUCGUGUACCAGUGCGCCAUCCAGGCGUACCAGGACACGCUCUACGUGCACUCCAACCGCCAGUUCUACGCCGAGGACGACAUCGCCGGCACGGUGGACUUCAUCUUCGGCAACUCCGCGGUGGUCAUCCAGAACUGCGACAUCCAGGCCCGGAGGCCCAGCCCGGGGCAGAAGGACACGGUCACGGCCCAGGGCCGGACCGACCCGAACCAGAACACGGGGAUUUCAAUCCACAAGUGCAGGAUCACCGGAGCGUCGGACCUCGGCAGCACAUCGGUGUAUCUGGGCCGUCCGUGGCAGAAGUACUCGCGGACCGUCGUGAUGGAGAGCUUUCUCGAUAGUUCGAUCUCACCGGCCGGGUGGCUCGAGUGGUCGGGACAGUUCGCGCUGAGCACACUGUACUAUGGGGAGUACGGUAACACCGGGCCUGGUGCCGGGACAAGUAAUCGGGUGACGUGGACUGGAGUGCACACGUCACUGUCCAGGUCAGAUGCCACGAGGUUUACUGUGGCGAAUUUUAUCAUGGGAGACUCAUGGUUGGGUGGCACUGGAGUGGCCUAUGAUUCGGGACUGUGAGGCAGGAUGUGGUCUACCCGUAUUUGCCAUUGAUCGGGAAUGAUUAACCAUGAUAGGAUGAACCAAUUUAAAUAAAUAAAAGAUUGGAAAAAAAAAUCUGCAAGAGCCCUGCCUUGACUUGUAGGGAAGUAACACAAGUCAGGAGUGUGAGCGUGGCCCAAUUGUGCGUAUCCCGUGCGUGGUGGCAGCAGGGUUGGAGAUUGAUUUUGUGUACCGUAAAAGAGCUCAUAGCAAGCAACCGUAUCUGGAAAAAAACGAUUGGUGGAUAUUAGUACUGUCACUGCACAGAAAGCAAAGGAUUGGGGAUUCAGUGGUGUAAUGUUAAGAGGUCGUGCGACAUGAAGACAUUGAUAGCAAUAUGGGGAAGUUCCCAUCAGGCAACAUAUCUCUCUUUGUCCAAAUAGAAGGAAAAGGAGACAAUUUGAACAUUCCUAUGGAACUCCCCUUCAGACGACUCUGAUGAAACAGAACAUUCUUGUUAUUGCUCGCCAAUGGCUCUAGCAAAAUGUACGACUCGCCCUUGCAAACUAAAAUCUUUGCUUGCUUGGAGCUUAAGUGUGGUAGAACCGUCCAGUUUAAACUGACUCAAGUACGUCAGUUAGGCCUUGGGCAUCCAACACACAGCGUACUUGAAUCAAUGUAAACCCGGUAGUCCAUCGGGUGUCCUUAAUUCACCCGAAGACUCCACAUUAUGUUACAUCCAUACAUCCAAGAUCGCUUACACAUGAGCUCGUUACAGACAUUAUAGCUUUAAACAAAUAAUUUACAGUAGCGGAUUAUUACAAACCAUAAGAGAGUUGUCUUAAACAUACGAUACCAGUACCUAAGAGUUUUAAAACAAACCACUUUGUUUAUAGUCAGGGACGGUAACAUUAUAUAGGCAUAUUUAAACAAACGUGACUUAAAGAAACACGUCGUGCCCACAACGUAUUUCCCCAUCUUCGGGAGCUCCUUCCUUAAGCAUAGGCCAUCUACUGACCUUCUUCAACUGCAACAAGGGUCACACAAACCCUAAGUACUAGGUACUUAGCAAGACUAACCCGUCAACGGAAAAGACUCAAGGCUAUGCAAGGCUUUCUUUGGUUUCUUGCUAACUCAGGUUAAGCGAGCAAAUCUUACUAAGAGUAAAUCCUUAAAAUCAUCUUUUAAUUCAAGUUAGUUACUAGACUUCUUAUAUUUCAAAGUUUGGAGUCCAAGCCAAAACAAGCAUGCUAACAUCAUAAAGCAUUUAUAAACAUCAUUAGCGAGCAACUUUACGAUGAUGGUUAGAGAUCAAGCGGUAUUCAUAUCCGUCGAGCACGGCGAGUUACAGUUCAAACUUCGGCACCUCAGAAGUGCAUCAGUUUAUCGGGUCCCACAUACCGGCAUGUGAUUAGUGCGUUCAAAGCUUGACCUAAAGGGCCAUCCAUCAAAUGGGCCUUAAAUCCAUUAUCCAGAUAGGACCAAAACUUCCAACUUUGUUUCCAACAACAUUCAUCAACAUCCUUUAACAUGAAACUAAUGUCCCGCCCACCCCUUCAUUAAACAAAUUGUUUUGCACUCUAACAAAUUUUAGAUGUUGUCCUUAUGCAAGUAACGAGGAAUUACUUGACUUCUGCGGCACUAGCAGAUUAGACUUAACCUUCUACUUUUAAACAGGUGGCAAAGAUGUCCUUAAAACAAGGAAUUUGGAAUGCAUAAAAGGACUCUACUCAACUCCUAGACUUAAUGCACAAUCAUGAAAUAUAACAAUUUGGACUCAAAUUAGCAAGGUUAAAUAGGAUUAAUGCACCGGGGCUUGCCUUACUGCUCCUCGGGGUCAGCAGUCUUGACGACGAGCUCUCGAGCAGCUACAGGACCUUGCUCUACCACGAUCACGUCCUCGCCUUCUUGAGCUGGCUCAGAGGGGAUCUCCACGAACUCCACCUCUAGCGGCUCCGAAUCUACACGGAAAUGAUGUAAUGAAUGAAAAACAACAUAAAAUAAGCAUCCUCUUAAUUUUAUAAAUGCUAACUUAAUGAAAUCAGAGCUCCUUAUAUUUUUUUAGAACAAGAGUUACCCAUAUACCAAGGAAUAAUUAUAAACCAAUUAAAUAGGAUUUAUCCUAAUUUUAAAUAAAAGAAAAGCAUUUUAAAUCUAAUAAACCAUUUUCAUAAAUUCUAAAUGGUCACUUAUUUUUAUUAACUACAAAAUAGAUUUUAGUUCUUAUUUUGAAUAUUUUCCUAAAUUUUAUCUAUUUAAGGAGGUAAUUAAAGUAAAAACAUCCUAAUUUUAAAGUAGGUUUAAAUAAAGGAAAAACAAAAUAUUUUGCUAUACCAUUUAUGAUUUUUCUUGCAUCACACAUAAAAAUAUGAACCCAACAUCUUUCUUCUGGGCAACUAUUAUUUGAUCUCUAAUAUAUGUGGUGACCAUUAGAUUGGAUACCUACCCUUAUUUUAUUAUUCCAAUAUUCAAUUUCUCCAAUUCCUCACAUAGCGUUCCAUGUUGUACCUCUACUCUACUGAGUAAAAUACAGUGCUACCGCAUUAGCCUUUACCGGGAUGAUAAGGGAUCUCCAAUCAACUAGAGCUACCUUCUUAGUCUCAUAUACAAAACAGGGCCUCCGACCUUGACCGCGGCCUGGCGGGGUUGACCGGCGGCGCCCUCGCCGGCGGGGAGCUUUCCCCGCGACAAGAAGUACAUGGCUCGGCUCGGCUUGGCACGGCGCAUCCACGGGUGGAGUCAUCGACGCGGGACGGUGACCAACGAUGGCUAGCUGACGCGGCGGCGGCGCCGACGCACGGACACGUCGGCGGCGCGGCAGCUCCGGCGACCCGGCGACCAAAACCCGGACAAGGACUAGGCCUAGAGCACCUACACGAGCUCUAGCAUCUCCUUCUCUUGUUCUUAUCCCCGGCGCACAGCUCUAGCAUGCUCAUCCCCAUCGGCGGCCAUGGCCGCGGCGCGCUCUGGCUAGAGUUGGGCGUUCCGGCCACCCUAGCCCUGAGCUUCUCCAACGCGCGAGCGCACGAGCACCACGGAGCCUUGGAGAGCUCAUUCCCGUAGCUAACUUGAGUGGAGAGGGUCGGGAAGGGAGUUCUCACCGUGGGGCGUCGACGGCGGCCGGCGGAACAGGGGAGGGGUCGCGGCGGCGCUGUGGUUGAUCUCGUCUGGCGAGGAAUGGCUAGGGGUGCUCGGGAGGUUGUCACGGUGUGUUGAGUGAGAGGAAUCGACCGGCGACGGCUUAUCGAUGGUGAAACUGGCGGCGAGCUCUGGCGGCUGGAACUUGGGCGGGAAGCAGAGAGAAUGAGCAGAUGACGACAACGGCAGGCCGCAGGGUUAAACUUCAAAAAGUAACCGCCUCACCGGCGUACAGCACCAGUCUGCCUGCUUGCUGCUGUCGCACUAGCAAACUGGCGCGUGGCACGGUUAAAAUCGGCCGCAGCAGCUUAAGUGGUGACCGGCGGUGGAGCUGGCUGGCAAGCAGGUGAAGCAGCUCAAGCUGCUUGCCGUCGGGUAGAGCUCCAAAAUGCACAAAAAUUCAGCCCCUUCUUUGAUGAUUCUAGUCCAAAAUCAUACACAAAAUCUCCGAGAACCUUUAACCAAAGUUGUAGAUGUACCAUAGAGCUACAAUUUAUAGAUAGAAAUUUUUCCCAGGGAAUGCACAGUUUGGGAGAUCAAAGGCUCUGAACAUCAUGGCCAAAAACUUGAUACUUCCAAGUUCAGUUUCAGACUUCAAUGCUAUGCCUGACAGUGACCAAAACAGCAUACAGUUCAAAUUUUGAGCUCCACACACAAUAGCCAAACUCCAUUUUAUGUGAUCAACAACUAGUCCAAAGUGUGCAUCAACCUUUUCCAUCAACUUUCAGAAAAACAUUUUCCAAAGUUGCUAUACAAAUCUUUUUAAAUCUGGAUCCAAACAUAGGUACUUGACCAUAGUUGACACUUUUCAGUUCAAAUCUGACUUUUUGAAUUGGAUUUGAACUAAGUCCAUUUUAAAUUGUCACUUUGAUCCAAAAUCAUUUCUUUGACUUGAGUUCAUCAUGGUUGACUUGGUCAACUUCCAAAUUUGACCUUGUUUGACCAUGCUUUCAUGUUCUUUUGCCUUUCUCUUUUUUCUUUAUAUUUCUCCUCUUUAGUGCUUAAGUGAGGUUUAAUUCUUUGUAAACACCAUUGGUGUUACAUUAAGUUCUUAUACAAGCAAUUUUGCUUGUUUUUUGUUAUGUCCACUAGUAGCGCACAUGCAUGUCACAUUCCACAGGGUUGUGACUCACGAAGUGCAACAACACUUCAUUCUAAGGUUAAUCAGUUCGAUUUCAAACUAAAUAAGCCUAAAAAAGGGCCCCCACUCAAAAUAAGUUCCGCGGAACAAUCAUCACGUUUGCUCACCUCUGAUCGGUUUCCUCUCCUUCAAAAUCAUAAAAGAAAUUCUACAUAGAAUUACAUGAGACAAUCUACGAGACCACUCGCGUGUACUGUCUACCUAGAAAAACAGCCAAACCAUAAGCUAUGCUACUCUGUAAUGUUGGAAGGAUGUCAAUGUACUUGUAAUCAAAGACUGAAUUGGACUGGUAAUCUUGAUGAUACACAUUUCCUCAACGGAAGGUACAGCAAGUUACAACAUAAGGAUCAUGCUUUGAUUCACUUCAUUCAUUAACUAGCGGAUGUAUCUCUGUUCAAACUCCUUAUUUAUGACCAUGCACUUCGUCGGGAUCUUCAAAUCAUGACCUGGAAGGCAAACAAGGUUAAAUGACUGAUCAAUUUCUUAGCAUAUCCUGCACUUGUAUGUUAUGCAGGACUAAUCUGAAAAAAAUGACACGUGAUUCUUUUUUUUUUACCUCAAGAGGAGGAGUAGGAAAUGGAGGUUGUGUGCAGUAUCUUCCCAAAUACAGCAUCACUGUUGCGUCGUAUUUCCCCUCCUCUUCAAGUGUAAGCAGAUCAACGAUGCACUGCAUCAUCCCCUUGACAUGGUCUGCAACGUUCUCACCUCCUGGCAGCAGAUAUCAUCUUUGCCUGGGAGUAUACGGGAGGGAUUUGUUUUCAGGAUGUAGGGGUGACACACAUCCAGAAUGUAGUUCUUGUGUCUUUUUGUACAUCGACCCUUACAAUUCCAACAUCCACUCACAGGAUCAAGGGAAACUAUUGCGAACACGAGUAAGAGAAGAACGGCUGCUUUCCCAAUUAACAUCUUGGUGCUAGUUUUAGCAGGUGCUGACCCAACUGGGUUAACGAGAACAAGGACCCUAAGCCUAAUGUUAUGCAUAGAAGGGUUUAAUGCUUUUUUAUGCGUGAAUCUUUGAUUGAAUAAAGUAUGUUGGAAAAAAAAAUCUUUGAUGAUCGAAUAAUGAUUGGGGAUAGAUACCCUAUGGAGCAACCUAGAUGCAAUAUCAUUUAUGAAGAGACCCUUACCGGUAUCCAAUGCCUAAGGGGGUGUUUGGUUCCACGUUCCUAUCACAUCGAAUGUUUAGAUACUAAUUAGGAGAAUUAAACAUGAGCUAAUUAUAAAAUGAAUUGCACAGAUGGAGACUAAUUCACGAUAUGAAUAUAUCAAGCCUAAUUAGUCCGUGAUUAGCACAUAUUUACUGUAGCAUCACUGGUCAAAUCACGGACUAAUUAGGCUUAAUAGAUUCGUCUCGCGAAUUAGCCUUCAUUUAUACAAUUGGUUUUGUAAUUAAUCUAUAUUUAAUACUGCUAAUUAGUAUCUAAAUAUUCAAUAUGACAUGAACUAAACUUUAGUCCCCGAACCAAACAACCCCAAAGGGAUAUCCUAGAAGGCGUAUAGAGUAUAUGUUUCUAGCUUCACGGAAUCCUAGCUUCACACCACUCUGUAUUCAAGAGAAAUAAAUAAGGCAUCUGGUAAAUAAUUUUUUGUUGACUGCUUUUGAGGCACAAAUUCUGUCAAAUUAUGAAACAAAAGUAUGCCGAAAAAUUGGCAAACAUCUCACUAAAAGCUACUAUGAGCCUGCCAACAUCACACGAUGGGUCUGAAUAAAAUCCAUACUUUAGGAAAUAUAACAAUCCCAAUAUCCUAAGACCAAAACAGAAUAAGGAAGACAAGAAAAAACUUGAAAGUACUUCCUCCGUCCUAAAUUACUAUCCGUUUUAGGUUUUGUAGAUACGUAACUUUUGCUAUGCACCUAGAUAUAUAUUAUAUCCAGAUACGUAGCAAAAAUUAUGUAUCUAAAAAAAUCAAACGAAUAGUAAGUUGGGACGGAGGGAGCAGCUGACAACCCAUAAAGCACCGUAACCAUAGGAAUAUAAAUCAAAACUUACAUGUGAAUAAUGUACUAAAUUUUUAAAAAAAAACAUUAGCAUACCGUGCACGAACAAAGCUAAUUAGGAGGUGGGGCGUUUGUUUCCUAGGGACUCAACUUUAACCCCUAUCACAUCGGAUGUUUGAUACUAAUUAAGAGUAUCGGAUGUUUGAUACUAAUUAAGAGUAUUAAAUAUAGGUUAAUUACAAAACUAAUUGCACAGAUGGAGGCUAAUUCGCGAGAUGAAUUUAUUAAGCCUAAUUAAUCCAUCAUUAGCAAAUAGUUAUUGUAGCACCACAUUGUCAAAUCAUGGAUUAAUUAGCCUUAAUAGAUUCAUCUUGCGAAUUAGCCCAGGACUUCCGCAAUUAAUUUUAUAAUUAGCUCAUAUUUAAUUCUCCUGAUUAGCAUCCGAACAUUUAAUGUGAUAAGGGCUAAACUUCAGCAAAGUAUCAAACGCACCCUUAGUCAACUUGAGGGGGUUCGCGUACGGCGUACCGGCGACGGCAAUGCCGCCCGACAGCAGGACACGCGGUGCUCUGUCGGAGUCCUCGAGCGCGGCGGCUGUGGCGGGCAGUGCGGCUGCUGCACAAGAGGAUCUCGAUCGAGACCAGCAGCGGCAGCAAAGCGCGGGCGGCGAGGGGCACCGAGCUCAGCACACACUGCUGUGAGCCACCGCUCAUCGAUCGUCAAUCCUCCUCUCUCCCACAAACCAGCCUCUGAGACUGGAAUCGGAUUUUUUUCUCCCCUCUCCUCAUUAAAUAUUAACUAGCACACAUACCCGUGAGUUGCAACGGUCACGAAACUGCAGCAGAUUCGAUUGUGUUUUCAGGCUACGGUUGUGCUUCUCGGUUGUUUCAUCAUCUACAUUUAUGAAUGAGUACGAUCUAAAGAUUUUGCUUGAUAAAAAUGAAGAAAUAUCUUCUCAUAGCUCUUAGUAGUGAUAUUGGGACCGUUAGAUAUCUUUCCAUCGUAAAAUGUAACAUCUGAAAUUUUGCUUAUUUUUGGAUGUAUUACAUGGAGAAGGUGCUUACCGUAGCGAAGCAUACCUAAUUAACCUCUCAAAAAAGCACUUCGCCCCAAGUUGCUACAGAAUCACAUUACACGUCAAUACAUCGCUUCCAAAAGGAAUUUUUUUGAAAUAAAAGGAUAGUCAACCGUAUGUAGCUUACUUUGCUUUUCACCAGAGCAGGUAAUAAAAAAAGCCUGCCUAAUGCCAGGCAGCUGCAAGGGAGUUACGGUCUCACACUCGUUGAGCUGUGCAGUUCCGUCGAUAACCAGCAACUCCAGAAGAUUUGACUUUUUGGACUUCUUGAGCAAUUGGCUAAUACCAAAAGCAAAUCUGUCCGUCAGCACACCAUACAACCUGAAAGAGCUGGAAACUGUACAGAGAAUGUAUUUCGUUCUCUGCAGAAAAUACAAUUGAUUUUGCCUUGCGCUGCAAUAAUUUGGAAGCUCAAAGUUUUUGGGAAGAUACGCCAACUCUCGCACAUACAGGAUCUAGUCAGCUUGGACUUGAAUUUAUUGCAUGCAUUACCACGUGGCACCCGGGGCUCGUUCGAGGUCUUCAACCCUUCCUCCUCCGCUGUCGAACCACCCUCCAUGUUCCGCCCGGCCGCCGCUGCCAAGUCCACCUGCUCGCUCAUCUAGGAAGUAGCUGGCGGCAUCGAGUAUGUCGGCAAGCCGACUCAACAGGCGGAUGAGUGGGAACUCGUGCAGAUCAACCAGCGGACUGGCCGGCCGCACGGCGUGUCCGCCCGCUCCUCCGGCGGUGGGCAACAGACGCCCUGCGCGCCUGAAUAGGCAAGGCCCUCGGGCUGCAAGCAUAAAAAAUUCAAGACACGAAGCAAAUUGUGAGAGAUUGGAGUCGAUCAUGGGAUUUUGUGACGAAUUCCUUGGCAGAAGUUGCAGCGAGAGGGGCCUCAACAUAUCCUUGAAGGACGCCGCUCGCGCCUGGGCGUGACGGCGUGUUAAUCUUGGAGAUGACGGCGGCGUAGCCGACCUUGAGGCGCAUUGCGGCGUCGACCCACACGUCGUUGGCGAACCGCACUUUGGGGCCCUCCAUCAUCGCCAGAGCUAUCGGAGAGGACGCCUCGCACAUACCCAAUUCCAAACCGAUCUCUCUGAUGGCUCCUUGCCGCCUGAGCCUCACGUCACGUAUGAGCUCACGUAUUUGACUGCAGUGCAAACGUGUAGGAUCGAGUCGGUCGAGUUCCUUCUCCUACCCGGACGAAAGCCCACUCCAGGUCGGUGCGGACCAAAAUUUUGCUAGCAUGACAACGGACAAAGAACGGACACGUUGCGACUUGCGUGCGAGAGGGACGGACUGCGGGUUGAUUACUGAAAACUUAAGGGGUGUUUUCGCAAAAUUACCACAACGGUUGAAGGAUUGAAAGAAACAUCCUCUCUUUAAUAUUAGGUAUAGAUUAAUCAGCUCUCUGAGACUGGAAUCGGAUUUUUUCUCCCCUCUCCUCAUUAAAUAUUAAUUAAUGCUAUGGACACUAGCUGAGGUGGAGGGUUAGGACCAUAUAAAAAGUACAUAUGUAAUACAAGUUGCACUAAAAUUUAUGUGUAACUAACAUACAAAUAAUAUUUACUCUCUCCGUCUCAAAAAGACUGUUCGUUUAGCCUCUAAAACUUGUCCCACAAAGAGUGUUUAUAUAAGGCCCUCUUAGUACCUUCUGGUGGUGCAGUUAACGAAUCGAUUAUUAACUUCCACCAUUGAUGCCCGAGCCAAACUCGCUAAAUAAGAUAGGCUAAUAGGUCCGAUAAUUACUACAAGCGUGCAUGCGUAAUUAAUACUACUCGGUAAUCCAUCUGAUUAAGAAGAGUUAUUAGGGGUACUUUGGACUUUUAGCAUUGCUACUAUCGAAUUUUCUUUGUGGGACGGAGGAAGUACUACUCAUAACAUCAAAAUUGGCAUAAAAUUAUUAUAGGUUUAACUAACGUACAACAACUCCAUGUUUUUGCAGAGUUGGUGGAGUGGAGCUGCAAAAGGAUGGAGUUGGUGGAGUGGAGCUGUGUUUUUUGAAAUGUAGUGUUGCCAAACACCUUCUAACUAUGUGAUCCUAUGCCCACGGCCCAAAUAAAAUGUAGUGAUCGAACAAUGUAGUCCACAGUGUAGUGAUCAGAAAGCAAUUAAUGGCACCACGUAGGGAAAGAGAUUCAAAGAUAGUAAUGCCUUUGUAAAGUGGAUAUGGUCACAUUUAUUUGAAUUUAGAAACCAUGUAAACUGGAUAUGGUCACAUUUAUAUGAAUAUAUCAAGAUUACAAGCCAUGCCAUUGAGAUAUGCUGAAAUUAAUAUAUAAACAACCAUUCAAUUUAUUAUACCAUAGGCCAAGCCUCUAUAUAAACACCAUCUAAGCAGAAGUACAAAUGCAAACUUCCUCUUUUUCUCCUCAGUCAUGGCAACCACCAGAAGCGGCAAGAUGAGGGCUGUGUUCCUGGUAGCUGCUGCUAUGUUUGUUGUUAUCGUGUCUUGCACACUCUUUUCCACCACCUAUGCACGUACGUACCUAUUUCAAUUUGUUCCACAAAUAUUCGAGCGUUCAAAAUCCACUAACCAACUUUUUUUGCAGGUUGUGAUCUCAUACCGGGAGGAAUUUGCAGUGAAGAAAACUGUCACGUGGAAUACUGCGGAAAGUUGUACGGCCAAGAACACCACUACGAAAAAGUGUAUUGCUUGAAGACUCCUCCUUUCCCGGAUCAGUGUUGCUGCGAGGUUAAAGUUGGUAGCCCACCACCAUCAGGACACCACCCGAGUCCCCCCAAGUCAUCAUCCAAGCCCGGUGUUGUUGUGAAAUAGCUGCGCUGGCCCAUGACGGUUUCCUUGCUUUGAGCAAUAUCUACAGGCCAACUCUGCUCUUGCAUGUAAUGCAGCUAAUUUACCCGAAGCAAAUGCAAUAAAAGAUGUUUUUUUAUCUUAAGGCCUUCAAGAAACUUUGAAUUGGCCCCAGCAAUGUUUAUCAGUAUAAUUUUAUACUUUAGCACCCCUACAAAAUGACGUGCGGAGAUUGUCUCGCAUUCCCCGAUUUUCUCAUCCCUUAUGAAACAGAUAGCCCCAUACCAACGGUGGGGUUUACAUGACGGCGAGCGAGUGCGGAGCAUAUUUAUUACGGAAAUGCUAUCAUCAGGGCGUCCGGACGCCCAUCCACAUUUUCGGACGCGUCAUCCACCGUUCGCUAUAUCCGACGGCUCCCCUUGCUUCUUACCCGCAACCGCCCCCGCGCGGUUAUUUCCCCUUUUCCAACCCGCAACAGCCCUCAUUUUCCUCCCUCCCUGUUCCAUUCCAUUUGCUCCGCAACCGCUGCAUUUGCUCUGGCGAUGCGGUCGCCGCGUCCGGUGGGAGGGACACCCAAGUCCUCUUCCGUCUCGCCGGCGCUCCCUUCUUCGCCUCCGAUGGGAAGGAUCACCAGGUCUUCAUCUGCCUCGCUGGGAACGCGGUCACCGCGCCCUGUUCGAAGUCCGUCCAGGCCCUCCGCGCCGGCAAUGCGGUCGCCGCGCCCGCUUCGAAGUCCGCCCCCGGAGGUAAAUUGCGGUGAGCCAAGCAUCGAUGUUGGCGUUUCCUCCCGCACGCGCUCUCGCCACCAGCUUUCGUCUCCCCUUGGUUUGGACCCCGCUGCUGCUCCGCCAGAUCUGCGUGAAGCAAAAUCCUCCCCCCAAUGCUCUUCAGGACAACGAUAACAACCGCGCGGGUGAGUGUUUUUAAUUCCGUUCCGUUGUUUUUCUGUGGAUUUUGGUUCGGAUUUGAUUUCGUUUAGUGUUUUAGAGUUCAUCAGUUUAGUGUUUCUAGGAUUUUUGAACUAGCAUAUCCUGUGUUAGGGUUACAUGUCAGCGCUAUUUUUUCAGUUGAGAUGUUGCAAAAGUUUUAGAUGAUAACAUUCAUGUUACCAUUUUAUUUAGAGAUGUUUCAUCAAUUACUUAUCAAUGUUGCUACAGAUUUUUUGAUAUGUUGCAAUAGUUUGGAUGAUAUUUAGAGGUUAACAUUCAGUUCAUCUUUUUAAAUUUCAGUUGUUUCAUUAAUUAUUUACCAAUGUUGCACCUGCGUUACUUUGAUGUUGCAAUAAUUUACAGGAUGUUUAGGAUAUAACAUUUAGUUCACCUUUUUAAUUCUGAUGUGUUUCAUUAAUUAGUUAUCAAUGUUGCACCUGCUUUUUUGAGAUGUUGCAAAAGUUUAGAGUAUAACAUUGAGUUCACCUUUUUAAUUCUGAGAUGUUUCAUUAAUUAUUUAUCAAUGUUGCACCUGCUUUUUUCAAAUGUUGCAUAUCUAUACAGGUUAUAUGUUGUAUCAAUUAGUUAACAUAUUCAUUUUGAAUUGUUUCAUUAAUUUAAUAUCAAUGUGGCACUUGCUGAAUAGGGAUGUUUCAAAGAAUUUUUAGAUUCUGAAACAUUAAAUUUUCAUGUACCAUUCAAUUAUACCUUUUUUAUCAUUUACUUGCUGUCUUUUUUUCAUCUUAUUUUUCAUUCUUUUUGCUGAUACUUUGUUUUAUUUAUUGUUAGCAGUUAAGGUGCAGUUAGGAAAAGAGGAGGAACACUUCAAGACUAGAUUCUCAGUUCAUAGAAUUUGUGACCUACUUCCUAAUCUUGAGGAUCAUCAGAAGCAGUGGAUCAAUGAAGCUGGCUUUGGUGCUCUGUUGACGUUGGCUAAGUUUUCAUUGCCAGUGAAGCUUGUUAAAUGGAUGCUUAAACAUAUGGAUCCUUUGCUCCGGGAGUUUAGAUACAGGAACAAGGUCAUUGUAUUCAACCGUGAUCUUGUUUGCAAAAUUCUUGGGCUUCAAAAUGGCAUCAUUCCUUUGAGGUUAUCUGGUGACUCGGAAGAUGUCAAGAAACUUCGGGAAGUCUACAAGGAUGGUGAUAGAGCUAAAAUUGCAAAGUGUAAAGAGAUUGUGCAAUCUAGCAAGGACAGGGAUUCCUUUGUGAGAGCUUUUUCUCUGUUGGCUCUAGGGACUAUCUACACUCCAGGAACAGGCAACUAUAUCAGCCUCAAAUAUCUUCAUAAUCUAGUUGAUAUUUCUGAAAUCAGCACCUUUGAUUGGGCGGGGCAUCUGUUGGAUGAGCUGAUGAAUGAAGUCAAGAAGUACCAUAAAUUUACUCCUGAUAGGCUUGACAAAGACCACCAAAUGGGAUCUUGUCUAAUUAUUCUAGCGGUAUGGAUAUUUAAUGCCUUUCUUUCAGCAUUUUAAGUUCCUUUUUCCUGCCCAUUCAAUAAUUCUAUGAUCAUAUUCUUGUAUUCUCUCUUACAAGGACCAUCUUAUCAAAUUUCAGAUUGCUUACAUGGACCAUCUUGAUUUGCCAACUGAUCGAGGAGGCCAUCAAUUGAAUUACAACCUGCCUCGUAUCUGCAAUGUUUCAAACACAGACUUUGAUUUUGUCUUGGCAGUUGAUAAAAACAGGCUUUCAUUGGGCAAUACAUUUGGAAAACUCCCUGUAUGUUCUUUUCAUAAUCUUUUCUUCAUUCCUGUUGCCAUCUUUUUCAUUACUUUUUGCCUUCUUUAAAAAUUUCCAUGCUUCUUUUCAUGAUCAGUUUUGCGACUUCUCCCGUACUCCUUAUGGUGCUGCUCCAAUUGUACAAGAACACCCUGCCCCUGCUGUUGGAAUUCCUGCUCCUGCUGCCACUGAGGAAGUCCCUGACCCAGCUACCACUGAGGAAAUCCCUGCUAUCAGCUCUUUAGAUGAAUGGCUGCAUCAACUACCAUCCAGUAACAAUCUUCUUCAUCAGGUGAAAAAACAUGUUACAUUUUUAGUUUCUGAUUGUGUCAUCUUAUUAUACUCUGUGUUGCAAUUCAUUCUCUGCUCAAACACUUUUAAUGUUGUUGUAGUAUAUCUUUAAAUUAUACCCAUAGUUUGGUUUCAUUUAAAUUUGUGUUGUUGUAGUAGUUCUUUAAUGUUUCGAAUCAACAAAUAGGUGUUACAGAAAAAUACAUCUGUUUUCACAAAAUAUAAUAUAUUUCACCUUGUUUUCACCAAUGUUUCAGUACACAUUCUUAUGGUGUUGCAUGUUAACUUUCUGUGUUUUUCAUAUUUUUAGUUUCAUCCCAUCAUGUUGCAAUGUCCCAUUACACUUAUUGCUAAUACUGUUUUAUUUAUUUUAUAAUUCUAUAUAACAGAUCCCUCUGGAGUAUCAGAAUGUUGCUUCUCAUUACUCUAAACUUGUAGAGCAAGAUGUUCUCCAACUUGCCGAUGCUAUCUCUACAACGAUCAGUGCGCAAAUUAAAGAUAAGGUCGUGGCUAUUUGGAGGAGACGUCACAUUGAAAUGUUGGGCAAGAUGGCAGAUCUAGCUAACAUGACGAGGAAUGAUGGUGUUGAAGCAGGGGUUUCCACCUCUAAUGUUGAUGCAGCAGAUCCUUCCAUGUGUGGUGGUUCAGAUGGGCAAACUUCCAAUGCUGCUGCCACAACAGAUGCAUCAACUAGCACUUUAGGAGCCCCCACCAGUGCUGCUGGUUCACCUAUUGACAAGACAAGCAACGAUUCAAGUUAUCUUGAUGACAUCCCUUCAUUUGAUCUCUUGUCCAGCCAAGGAAUUGAAACAGAUUGUUUGACCCCAGUGGCAGCAGCAUCUAAUUUGGGUGACUUUUUUUUACCUUUUUUUUGUCUCCAUUUUCAUUCCUCUUUUCUUACACGUAUUUGAGUAUUUUUAUUAUUCUUUGUGUUUGCAGCUGAUCUCACCAUUGAUGAGACUAUUGUUAACAAGCCUGGGUCAAGUACAUUUGACAAGAAAAACGGGAGGAAGAGGGCUGCUAUCCAUCUGAACCAAGGAAAGAAAUUGAAGAGAAAAAGUGCCAAUCAAUCCAAAUGCGAAUAAUGAUGAACAAGAACAACCGUGAGCAAUUCUUUAUGUCUUUCUCAAUGUUCCUUAUCUAUGUUUCACAUGUUUCAGUAGGUCCAGUUAGAUGUUUCAAGUAUGUAGUACUCAUGUUACAGCAGUUCAAUUUUCUAUCCAAUGUUCCUUAUGUAUGUUUCACAUGUUUCAGUAGGUCCAUUUAGAUGUUUCAAAUGUGUAGUACUCAUGUUACAGCAGUUCAAUUUUUUUUCCCAAUGUUCCUUAUAUAUGUUUCACAUGUUUCAGUAGGUAUAGUUAGAUGUUUCAAAUAUGUAGUACUCAUGUUACAGCAGUUCAAUUUUUCCCCCAAUGUUCCUUCUGUAUAUUUCACAUGUUUCAGUAGGUCUAGUUAGAUGUUUCAAAUCCUAAUUUAGUUUUUUUUAUCCCAGCCCCACCAUUUGUUCGAAUUGAUGGCUUCCAUGUUACUUAUGAUGAAUUCUAUGGAUCCUUCAAGCAAAGGGGGGAAAUUAAUAACCAUGUGAUGGCUUUAUGGUCCUAUGAAUUUAACAUUGAAGAAGCUGAAUUGCGUGAGAAGGACAAUAACAUCGUUGAGAAAUUUGCUUUAUCUACUGUUCUCACUGUAAGAUUUGAAUUCUGUUUUGCAAUUUUUUAUUACCAUCAUAUGUGCCCCUGCAUUCAUUAUGAUAGUUUCUAACUUUUUUUCAAGGACAAGCUAAAAAUUGAACCUGAUAAUUUCAUACAAGACAGCUGCAACACGGCUUUGACAAUUUUGAACAAGUCUUGGGAUCUCUCAAAAAUGGAUCUGGUACUGUGUUGCACAAUUAAGUUGCCUUUCAUUUCCCAUUCUUUUUUUUCUUAUCUACUUUUUUUUGUAGUUGUUUUUCCCUAUUGUUGAAGAAGGGCAUUGGGUACUUGUCAGUGUCAACAUGUUUCUAAAGGAAAUUUGCUGGUUCAAUUCUCUUGGGGAUCUCGUGAUACGAAAUGUUUUGUUUCUGCCAAGAAUGUGGUCAGUACUCUCAAACUUGCAUCUCUUUCUUUUGUUAUUAAUAGCCUCUGUUACUUGAUGCUUUUUUUCAUCUUAUGGUGUGUCAAUAAUUGAAAAUCAAUGUUGCACCUGAUGAUUUACGAUGUUGCAGAACUAUAGAGGUUGUAGAUUGUAACUGACAAUUAAACUUUUUUAGAAUUUGCGAUGUUACAAUAGUUAAUUACCAUUGUGGCAGAUGCUGAUUUGAAAUGUUUCAAUAGUAUAUAACGUACCAUUUGUUUCUAUUUUUAGGUCACCAAUUUUUCAAAAGCAUGUAUACAAGCUGGGGUGCUAAACAAAGACAUCUCUCUGUUUGAUUGGAAAUAUCCCACGGACUACCCGUAUAAAAAAUCUUUGUAAGUUUUUCAUCAUUCAUGCAGUUUUUUCAUCUUUUCUCACCAUGUUUCUUUUGAUAACCCAAUUCUUUUUGUUUUCAGGCAUGAUUGUGGGUUAUACACAAUGCUAUAUAUGAAGUCUUGGAAUGGGAAGAAGAUGGACACCACAUUUGAGCCAGUAUGUCUUAUUGCAAUGUGGCUACCUAAUUCUUUUACCCAAAUAUAUGAUGUUACUUCUGCAAUUUUUUUGGUAUCUAAUUCUGUUUUCUUUUUCCCUUUUUUAGCACAUGAUUGCAAACUAUAGAAAAUUGGCUGCAGGCAUUCUCCUACUUUUUCCAAGAAAUGAUAUCUUGACAAGCGAGUUUGUUGAAAAAUAUUGCAACCAGAAGUAGUGACAUCAUGUUUCGUUGUGCAAUAUAGGAGUUUAGGUCUCUGUAUAUAGCUAACAAUCAUCUUAGAAAUGUGGAUGUAUGGAGUAUUCAGGAUUGUGGGAUACCAAUUAUUUUACCUCAGCUUAGUUUUUUUAUAUGUUGCCGUAGUGCACUUCAUAUGUUGCGAAUUCUGCUUUACUAUGUUGCAGAAAUGUUGGCUUUAAUUUUCUUGUUUGCAACAUUUAUGGAUAACUGAUGAAACAUCAUUAACUUACUAUUGCAACAUAUACUAUAAAUCUUUUUUUUCUUGCCUUCUUCCUUGUUUUUUAUAUCUUCAAUUGGUGUCGUAUGUUGUUGUACUAUAAUUUUAAUGUUGCAAAUUCUACGGAACCAUGUUGCAAUAAUGUUGUCGUGCCAUUUCUAUUUUGCAACAAGUGUUCACAACAUUUGAAACACCAAACUAAUGAAGUUGCAACAUCAACUGUCGCAAUGAUACAUCACAUCUUUUUUUUUGAUGCCACACAAUAUGUAGUUUAAUUCAUCUCCAGCUCAUGGUCUAAUACCAAUACCACAAGGCUCAAUCUCAUACAUGGGCAUAACAACAGCAUCAUAAAAAAAAUUAAUAUAAAUGAGAUAUAAUGUUGCAGUUCAUAAAAUGAAAUGUUGCAGUACUUUCUAAUACAUGUUUCAGGUCAUUCUAAUAAAAGAAUAAUUAAAAAUUCAGAGCUUUAGCUCUGUUUCUUUAAGAUCCUUUGCAAGUGCCUCCGCCUUGACCAUGUAUGCGCAAGUCUAUACACUAUGACCAUCUUCAAAGCAAUAUGAGCAUGGUGGGAUUUUUUGGGCUGUCUUCUUUCCUUUUGCCUUCCUUUUCAUUGCUUUGUCCUUAGCUUGUGCCACUACUGACUUGAACCUUUCCACCUUCUCCUUUGGUCUCCCUUUAAUUUUUGUUCUUGUUGGAUUCUUUACCAUGACAGCAGGAGUUUUGGACUGUUGACCUGUUGCAACAUUGGACGCUUCAUCUUGUUGCAUUUCUUGUGACCCCCUUGCUGUCCUGACUGCUUGUACCAAUGUAUCUAUCCCAGCUGAAGCUACAAUGUACUUUUCAGGACCCAAACAAGCUUCAGCUGCUAGUGACGUCAUUUUUUUGCACAAUGCAUUGUACCUUAGCUUGUUUGUGGUUGGGACACCAAAUGCUGGUUCUGUACCCGAGAGGCAUUCCGGUAUCAUUAUAGUCACUCCUUUGACCAUCUUCUAAGUAGAUACUUCUCUGGAAUUUUUUCAACAACCCUGUUUGUGAAUACUUUUAGUAUGUGAGGACACAAGAGGCCACCACGGUCAAACAUGUUGCAAGAGCAUGUAUAUGAUGUUGCAUCUUUAUGACCAGGCGAACUCUAGUUGAAUUUGGGUGCACAAUUUGAAUGGACCAACCCUGGUCAUCACUUUCAACAGCCCCUACCUUGUAUCUUGUAGAAUCACGCAACAACUCUUGAAAUUUACCAAAGACUUCACCGGUGUAGAAUGAAGCAGCUUGCUUCUCAAAAGCAUACCUUCCCCAUAGUGAUGGAUCUGAAAUCUCUCCCUUGCAACGCUCCUUAUUUUCUCUUUCUGCCCUGGUGUCCAUGCUGUAAUCAUAUUGUGUUAUAAAUUGCAACAUUGAGUCCUGAGGGUGAACAACUUUCUUGAACAAUGAAUUCAUGCUUUCGGAUCUUCCUUUUGUGCUUGUGAAGGGGAAGAAGUACUUUCUGAAGUAUGCAGGUGCCCACAUCCUCCUUGUACCAGAAAUACUUUGAAAGAAUUCAUUUUCCUGCAAGUGGUAUUUGUCCUCUAUGCUUGCCCACAACAUCUCAAAUUCUUCUGGUGUUUCAGUCCUGUUCACAUAGUAGUCAAACUCCUUUGCAAAGUCUUCUUCCUCACUAAUAAGCCAAGCAAGCUUAUCAUUAGCCUUGCUCAGGACAUGCCACUUGCAACAUCUGUGUGUUGCGUUAGGGAACACUAUUGCUAUUGCUGCUUUCAUUGCUUUAUCCUGGUCUGUCAUUAUGUUGGUUGGUUCACGCCCACCCAUCGCUCCCUUCAACCUUUCUAGCACCCAAACAAAUGUUUCUGUUGUUUCAUCUGGUAACAUUGCACAUCCAAGCAGUAUGCUAUGCAAAUGGUUAUUUAUCCCAACAAUUGGUGCAAAUGGCAUGUCGUAUCUGUUGGUGCAAUAUGUUGUGUCAAAGAAAAUGCAAUCUCCAAACUCUUGUACAACUCUCUAGUCCUCCCAUCUACCCAAAACAAUCCGCUAACAACAUUAUUAUCAUCUAUCAUUGUUGCAUAAUAGAAGGAAGGACUUUCAGCUUGUUGCUUUUGAAAAUAAUCUAAUGUUGCAUCCAUAUCCCUGUAGGUGAGACCUCCUCUCAAGUGUGUCCUCAUGUUCGAAACAUCCUUGGUGCUGAAAGUAAGGUUGCCAAGCCCCCCAUGGAAAUCAGCAAGCACCCCCAUGAUCUGUGUUGUGCUAAUAUUUCUAUGGUGUAGUGUUUUCAGCAGCUCAUAAUUAGCCCACGAGAUGCUUCGGUGGGACCUCAAGUGUUUCCUAACCCUAAUCGCCUUCACCAUGGGAUGAGUAUGGUCAGGUUGCAUUACAAUCACUCUCCACCUCGAAUUUCUCAAGCCAACCGCUAUAUGAGCUUUGCAGUCCAACUUUUUGAUAGUGUUGCGCUUCCUUGUUGCUGUGGUAAGCACAGCUGUUGCUGCUCUUUUUUUCGAUCCCACUAGUGUUGCAGUGUCAUUUGUUGAUGUGCUCGCUGAUGUGUUUUCCUCUCCAUCAUCUUCUCCAUCAAUAGCUGGCUUCCUAGCAUGAGAACACUCCCACUCCUUUCUGAUCAGCUCCUUUGUGACGUUGCUAUUUCUUGAAGAAGCCACUCUUAUGCUGAAACCCAACUUCAUGGCAUACUCAUUGUAGACCUGCCUUACUUCCUGUAUCGUGUCAAAUUCCAUCCCAACUUUCGACACAAUAGGCUGUGAGCAUACGACGUCUUCAUCCUUAUGGUAGACCUCUUCAUUUGCACCAACUUGUACUGAAACAUAUUCACUUGAGUGUGUUGUUAUGCUCGCAACAGGAACCAAUGCUCCACCCCCUGCAACAAAUAAAUGUUACAGUUAGUGUUACUAGCGAAAUCAAUGUUCAGAUGUUGCAAAAACUGUACAUGGAAGUAAGAUGCAACAUUCAGUUAGCACAUACAAUUUUUGAUGUUUCAAUAACUGAUUUUCAAUGUGGCACAUGCUAUCAUUAGAUGUUGCAACACUUAUAUGUAACAUUCAGUUAACCUAUGAGCAUCAUGAGAUGUUGCAAUAACUUUUUUUCAAUGUUCCACAUGGUAUCAUUAGAUGUUGCAAAACUGUAUAAGAUUCUGUCACAUCUAGUGUUUCAAACGAAUCAUACCUGCCGUUUCUGGAGACUCGAUUGGGAUGCCAAUCCCCCAUGGACGCUGCUCAAAAGACCUGGGGCAGGUGUUGAAGUGAAUUAUCACGUUUGCUCAAAGAAUUCAAUGCGACAUUUAGGGAUUCCGAGCAACAAUGGGGGCGGCAUACCUGGUAGCGUGUUGAGGUCAAUCAUCUGUAGAUCUGAGGUGUUCCGGGCAACAAUGGGGGGCGGGUGGCCGCCAUGUGGUUGAUCUGGAGGGUGGAGUUUGAUUUUUUGAAGGAUAUGCGCCAUCUGGGCUGCGGCGCCGGCGGAUCUAGGCGGCGCGGCGCGAAGCUGGGAGCUUCGCUCCUGUCCCGACCCGCGUGAAGGAGUUGACGCCAGGGUAUUUUUUUUCUGUGGUUGGUGCGGACUUGUCCCGAUCUCCUUUGUGUUAUCUGACGACUGACAUGUAUUGAAUCCGACGGUGGCGAGUGUGUUCGAUUUUUGCGCCCGGAACGGACGUCCGGGCGCUAGUAGUUCCGUAUUUAUUAGCAUCAGACACGACCCGAGGUCAGAUUUAAAAAAUCAGGAAUCGGAGACUAUAAUGGCUCGAUUCACUUAAAAAGAAUCCAUGCAAUCGAAUCGGUAAAAAUCGGUUGACCCGGCUGGUUUCUAUGGAUUCGGAGAAUUGGACUGGUUUCUAGUAAAUAAAGGCAACCCAGCUCACCAAAAGCAACUAUGAGCCCGCCAACAUCACAUAAUAUGGGUCUGCAUAAAAUCCAUAACUGGGGAAUAUAAUGAUCACAAUCAGCAGAAAUCAUGACGAUAAAAACAAUAAACGCAAGCCGGGAAGUACUGUCUCAGAUUGUACGCUGUUUUGGCUUUUCUAUGUGCAUAUUUUGUUUAAAAAAAUUCAAAUUACUCCCUUCAAAUAUAACCAAAGUCUGGAUAUCCUACUAAAGUAUUUCUUAGUUUAGUUUACCCCCUAAACUAUGUCAUUUGGUUUAAUGCAAGUUGUCUUUUUUCCAUGCACAAGUGGAAUCUUAAGUUCAAAUUUUGCAGGAUGAUAGUAGACAUCAUAAGACUUGUUAGAAAAAUAUAUCAUAAUUUUUUAUCAUUAUUUUGAUAGGGUAGGAUAUUUAAUAAUAAAUUUUAUCCUUGAGAUACAAAAUUAUAUAAAGUAAUGAUGAAAAAUUCAUAAUUUUUUUAUAUAGAUUAUGAUGUCCACUACCACCCUGCAAAGUCUUAAAUUAAAUCAACUUGUGUAUGGAGAAACAAAAAUGACAAAAUGCAUUCUGGGGUAAGUUGAACCAAAUAAUAUAGUUUAAGGGGUAAAUUGAACCAAAAUAUAGUUUAGGUAGUAAUUUAAAAUUUUUCCUCUUAAAUUUUUUAAUUAUAUAUGGGAUCUAGAAAAUUCAAAACGAUCUAAAAUUUGAAACGGAGGGAGUAACACCCAUAAAACACCCCUAUAAAUAUAAAUUAAAACUUAAACUCUACACUAAUCAACUUGCAUGAGGAUAAUGUUCUAUAUUCACAAGAAAAAAGAAAAGAAAAUUAACAUAUUUUUCUGAAGCAAAUGCAAUAAAAGAUGGCUUUGUAUUUGGCCCCAGUUAGUAAUGUUUAUUCCUGCACAAUUUUACUUUGUACCCCUUGAAACUUGAAAGUGAUUUGGGGACGAGAUUAUCUCCCGUUCCCCAGUGGCCCAGUCAGUACAGCGAAACGCGGUGGGGCCCACAUGUCGGCGAGCAAACGCGGCGGACAGCCUCGCAGCCGUCUCCUCUGCCGGUGAAGCAACAGCUCAUCCGCGCAUUGACUACCCCUUUCUAUCCCCUCUCGCGUGUGUGGUCCCGUUUCGCGAUCCCCAAAGCCCUCUCCCAAAACCCCCGCGCAUUUUCACGUAUUGGGUCUGUCACCCACGUUUUCGUGGCAGCCGCCGCCGCGGUCGCCCCACGCAUCGGCCUCGCCGCCGCCGGGGCUGGGUCCCGCGGCCACCGCCGGCAGCCGACGCGGAAGCUGGGCUUCCCGGCGGGGCAGAGGGCGCGUUCCGUGGCCGUCGCGGCCGCGGCAUCCCCUCCGUCGGCCGGCGGGGUGACGCCGGUGCCACCCCGCUCCAGCCGCUCGUAAGACUACCUUCUCUUAGAAUUUCCUGCGGGAUCUGGUUCCCUACGGGCGUUUAGUGGGGGACGCUUGCAGGAGCCCCUCUCGGUUCGAGCUCUGUUUAUUUUCUCCCCCAUUUGUAAGGUGUUGUAGUACGGCACGGAUGAGAAUGUGUCUUGUGCGAGGAAUUUAGCCGAGCUUUGUCGGUUGCGGCUGUCUGGCUUGGAUUUAGCUGAGAUUUGUCAGAUGGAUCGUGCUGACCUCAUCAGGUGGUCAUUUGCAAUCCUGCAUCGCCAUGCCUUUAAUUAGAUGUGGUCACUCAUAUAUCAUAGGCCAUUUUAAUACUUCUUUAAGGGACUGAAAUCAUUUCGAUCUUGAUCAUUCGUGAGGUUUGGUUUCAAAUAUAUUGUAUACAUUUAGGGUUCAUACUAAUAUGAAACUUUUUUUUUUCUAUCUUUGAUAUGGAAAGAAUUGAAGAAAAUUAAUGAAUUAAUAUGCAAUCAUUUUCAUGAUAUCAUUAUGUAUGUAUGCCAUGUAACCUGAUGGCCGUGCUACUGUAUGAUUGAUAUUAACAAAGCAGAUUGAAAAACUAAAAAAAAUGACAAAAAGGAUUAAUUCACAUGACAUAAAGAAUUAAUGGGUUAUUGAAUUCUGUGAUAAAGUAUAUCAUGAGACCAUGAGAGGUGUGCAUGGAAUGGUGAACAAGGUUUCCUUGAAAUCCAGAGUGAUCCCAGGAUUAUGCCGUGGGAUUACUCUGUUUUAAUUACUUUCCAAAUUCUCAGUUAUUUUGCAAAUAUGGGCUUGAGUCAGGGUUGUUUCAUUUCUUUACUUUUUUUCCCAAUUCUUCCUUUCUUUAACUUAUCAUUCGUCUUAUUUAAUGAAAUGACACAGCUCUCCUGCAUGUUUGAGGGGAAAAAACUUCUUAAUUAUUAUGUAGAACUCUAGAUUGUCCUAAUGCGACCAAGAUCGCAAAGGAAAGCCAUUUGUAAUACAAAAAUGCCAAUUCAAAUGGUUUGUAAAAUACAUUAUGGUGUGGUACCUUUUUAGAUAAGCUGCCAAAAUAGGGAAUGUUUCUACCCUACAUUGUCAAUAUAUGUUAGCAACUGGAACUAAUGAUCCUAUUGGCAAAUGUGUUGCAGCCUUAGUGGGGAUCUUUAUGUUGUAGCAUCCUUAUAUUGUAAGUGCUGUAAAUUGUUCAAUUCUGUGGCAAAGCAUUAUUAAGCAUGUGCCCCUAAUAAGUUUUUAUUAACAGUUGUUACUGCACUUUCUCAUUGAUGUGCCUGGAUGAGUUUUCCUUUUUAAUUUGUAGGUCUAUAAAGCGUCACACGCUAUCAGUUUUUGUUGGUGAUGAAAGUGGGAUGAUCAAUCGAAUUGCUGGAGUUUUUGCUAGAAGAGGAUAUAACAUCGAGUCAUUGGCUGUUGGGCUGAACAAGGAUAAAGCAUUAUUUACAAUAGUAGUGUCAGGAACAGACAAAAUAUUGAACCAAGUUGUAGAGCAACUAAACAAACUUGUUAAUGUUAUAAAGGUCAGUAUUUUUCCUUAUAACAUGUGACUUACAAAAAUGAUUGGUAACUAAUAUGUCACAGAAGUCAUUGCUCUUUGUUUUGGCCUGAGUCAGUUCAACAGUGUAUCUUGUAUUCAUAUCUUAACAUUUGGAUUAAUAAACAGGUUGUUGACUUAACAAAUGAACCACAAGUUGAAAGAGAACUGAUGCUUAUAAAAGUAAAUGUGGAGCGAGAUAAGCUGCCUGAGGUAUAAGCAUACAAAUCUUCCUAAAUGUAUCUGCACUUUCUGGCCUUGUAAACUUAAAAGUUAACAUUUAAUAUGGGUCAUUUUGGUAGCAAGAAAUAUAUAAAUUGGCAACAAAUCACAAAUCAAUUCUGCAGACCUGGUGCAAACUAGCACAUUAAACUUUAUUGUUUAGCUGACAUCUCUAGUUGUGAAUGCAGAUAAUGGGUUUGGUUCGCAUUUUCAAAGCAGAAGUGGUCGAUCUUGCUGACGAUACACUAACUAUUGAGGUAAUGUCCUUGGUGUGUCUUGACUUGAAGAUAACUCAUGUUGUUGUGCUUAUGGUUCUUUCCUGUGAUUACGUUCAUGUAACUGGAGAUCCAGGAAGAUGGUUGCAAUACAGAGACUCUGAGCAAACAUGGGAUCAAAGAAAUUGCUAGACUGGCAAGGUCAUUCUUGUUCAGAAAAUAGUGAAAAAUUAUCAUGAUCUUGUUCUACACUAGACCUAAUGAACCUUAUUGAUUUUAUAGAUAGCUGUGCGCCGUCAAAAAAUGGGAGAAACUGCUCCAUUUUUGGGGUUCUCUGCAGCUCCUUAUCCUGAUCUCGAAGUGACAAUACCUUCAACUUCUCGACUUAGCACUGGAGUGGAUGCAAUCAAUCAGAAUUCCAACGAAUCUUCAGGGGUAAGAAACCACAAUUGUCCUUUUACCUGGUAAUUGAUGUACUAUGUGUUUAGUUUCUCAACACUUAACAGCUAGUUUUGCUUGGUUGCAUUGAAUAAAUUUGCACUCACGCUUCCUGUUGAUUAGCUUCACAUGAACGAUUUGUUCUUUUGAUUUGGUUUUAAUUGCUGUUCGUUCCGUUGAUCUGGGUACUAAAUACCCAUUGGUCUUUAUGAAGAAAUGGAUUAUUACAUGUACAUGUACAUGUCAUGACAUCACUUACAUAUUUUUAUAUUUGCAUAAAUCUGAUAUUGCACUCAAAUAGUGCUAAUUCAUUACUUAAUCUGUCCUUUGUAUUAGACUGUAUUAGGUGCUACAUUCCCGGCUGGCCCCGGCUGGUCCUUUGGGCCGUGGGUGGUGCUGCGCUGGCCUGUUGCCGUGCCCAACCCCCUUGGGUCUCUGGUAGAUUAGGCAAGGGCCUCCUUGAUUGGUGCUAUCUAUAAACGAAACCCUACGACACCCUUGCCUGUAUAUGUAUGUCUGCUAUGCACCUCCAUUAAUCAAUCUACUAAUUCCCCAGCCAUACUUGCUUUCACUUUGGACACUUAGUGUUUUGGUUGUAUCAUUAAAUUACUUAAAUAUAACUAGUUAGAAAAUGCUCGCACAUUCUUUUUUCUUUGUCAGCAUAAUGUUUUCUGGAAAUACCUUUUAUCAUCCUCACAAUGUUAGUUUGAAUUUGGAAUGAGGGUUUUAUAUGAACUUUUCUUCUAAACAGGGUGAUGUUUAUCCAGUGGAGUCUUAUGAAAGCUUCUCAGCAAAUCAAAUUCUUGAUGCUCAUUGGGGUGUUAUCACUGAUAAUGAUGUAAGCUCUUGUAUUCUAAUCACUUUGAACUGUUUGGUGCUAGCUAGAAAUGAUCUGCAUCUAGUUCCACCCGUCCUUUCACAUGAAGUUAUGUGUUGCUAAUAGUUAAAAAGCAAGACUGCAAGAGUACCUAGAAUCCAAAUUUAAGACUAGUUUAUAUGACUAAAUUACGGUUCACAGCGAAGAAUUAUAAAUUAUACUAUACCGCAGUUCAAUGUACCUAUUUACGAGCUAAACUAAUAAUCUCUUGUUGCUUCAGCCAACAGGGUUUUGUUCACAUACUCUAUCGAUUCUUGUGAAUGAUUUCCCUGGAGUUCUCAAUGUUGUAACAGGUGUUUUCUCCCGAAGGGGCUACAAUAUUCAGGUUCUUCAAACUCAUUUAGUGUUCUGUGCUCCCUUUAAUUAGAUCAUUGCAGGGUCCAGUCCAUGUUAAACAGUAAACAUCAUUUUCAGAGUCUUGCUGUUGGCCCAGCUGAAAAGGAAGGAACUUCUCGCAUCACUACUGUUGUUCCUGGAACUGAUGAAUCCAUUGCCAAGCUAGUACAUCAACUGUACAAGCUCAUUGAUGUUUAUGAGGUCAACAUUAAUGAUGCACUUUGCAUGAUUGUGAUAGAAGUAAAGAAGUUGGCGUGAUUGUUAUAGACAAAGUCUUGCUCAAAUUCAUUUUUGGUUUCUCAGGUCCAUGAUUUUACUCAUUUACCAUUUGCUGCUAGAGAGUUGAUGAUCAUAAAGGUUGCUGCAAAUGCUGCAGCUCGAAGAGAUGUCCUUGAUAUUGCUCAAAUAUUUGAGGCCCAAAGAGUUGACAUAUCAGACCACACAAUUACACUGCAGGUAACUGUUACUGAAAGAACUUUUACUUGGACAAGCCCCAUGUCAUUGUAAGAUUCUUUAGUGUACUUGAUAAUUUAGUGGACUUGAUGUACAACAUAUUGAUGUACACAAUAGAACGUCAUAUUGUUCAUCUAGUAUGUCAUUUUUUAUGCAUCAUGUAGUAGUAGUCCUACCAAUGAAGGGACUAGUAUAUUGAUGCUGAUAGGUGAAAAGUUUUCAUAUAUUAACGUAUUUUUGGCAAUCAGCAGGGUGAUUUGAAAUUUAUAAAUUUUGAACUCGAUCAAUGAUUUUUUUCCUUCUUUAUUUUUUAUUAAUAAGCAUUCAUAUCUUCACCGAUUUCUUUAAUCAAACAUGUUUCAUUAGUAUCAUGCUUGGUGAACAAUAACCUUGUUGGCUUGUGCAGCUUACAGCAGAUAUUGACAAAAUGGUUAGAUUGCAAAAGAUGCUAGAGCAAUAUGGCAUCUGUGAGGUUUGUAUUGACUAUUGGCCUUCUGAUUCGCGGAUAUCUGCCAUUACCUUACCCUUUUCAUGCAUUAUCUUUGAAAAAAUUUGCACAAGUUUUUUUUGUUUGUGGAGUAGUGACUCCAAUGAUGUUUGUACUUUAGCAAUCGUUAGGAGAUGCUUGAAGUAUAUGCCACUAAUUCUCUCCUGUUUUCACAUGCCUCCUGCAGGUUGCACGAACUGGCCGGGUUGCUCUGCUCCGUGAGUCUGGAGUCGACUCCAAUUACCUCCGCGGGUUUUCCCUCCCUGUGUAGUUCACCAUUUUGUCAACAUACCACUCUCCACGAUUUCAGGUCGACGCAUCCAUUGUCUUCUAAGAAUGGUGCAGGCGUGCAGCGCUUCUCUUUAUCUUUGGGAGUGACUGUAGUAGAGAAGAAUUAUUCAAAGACCAUAGGAAGAAUAUCCUGUACGAUCGUGUUAGUUGGUUAAACAAAUGAUAGGUUGUCUGGACUGCUAUGUGCUUAUGCUGUAAGUUUCUUGCUUAUGGAGGUGUCACUUAUUUUGUAGGGGAAAAAAUGGAAAUGCCAUGCACCACCCAACGGGAUGUUAGCAGACUCAGAAAGUGACGAGGGAAGGAGAGAAGCCCGGUGGACUACGGGCCUGUUUGGCAACAAGGUGUUAAAGUUUAACACCCGUCACAUUGGAUUUUUGGAUGCUAAUUAGAGUAUUAAAUAUAGGCUAAUUACAAAACUAAUUGCACAUAUGGAGUGUAAUUCGUGAGACGAAUCUAUUAAGCCUAAUUAGUCUAUGAUUUGACAAUAUGGUGCUACAGUAACAAUUUGCUAAUGAUGGAUUACUUAGGCUUAAUAGAUUUGUCUCGAAUUAGCACAGGGUUCUGCAAUUAGUUUUAUAAUUAGCUUAUGUUUAGUUCUAAUUAGCAUCGGAACAUCCGAUGUGAUACUGUUAAAGUUUAACACCUCAUAUCAAACACCCCCUGCGUUACAAAAAAGCAAAACGACCGGAGGGGCUCGACGUCGAGGUGCGCGGGAGGCUAGAGUUCGAUGUUUUCCACCGAGCUGCCUGGCGAUGUCACGCGGAUAGGCGGCGUGUGUUGAAAAUCAUGACCCAGAGCAGACUCAGAAAUGAAGAAAUGUCACGCACUCUUAGAGGGUGUUUUCUUCCACUGACUUAUUUUUAGCACGUGUCACAUUGAAUGUUUAGAUACUAAUUAGGAGUAUUAAACGUAGAUUAUUUACAAACCAUUUNNNNNNNNNNNNNNNNNNNNNNNNNNNNNNNNNNNNNNNNNNNNNNNNNNNNNNNNNNNNNNNNNNNNNNNNNNNNNNNNNNNNNNNNNNNNNNNNNNNNCAUCAUUAGCAAUGUUUACUGUAGCAACACAUUGUCAAAUCAUGGACUAAUUAGGCUUAAUAGAUUCGUCUCGCCGUUUAGAUUCGUCUUAUGUAAUGGGUUUUAUAAAUAGUCUACGUUUAAUACUUCUAAUUAGUAUCUAAACAUUCGAUGUGACGGGUGCUAAAAAUAAGUCAGUGGAAGAAAAUGGGACCUUACCUUUGGACCGCGUUAAGGCGCGACCGAUCGCUCGACCCCUAUCAUCUUCCGCCACAUACGUCACAUACUUUGGUAAGCAUGCGCUGGGCGAUUUUGAUUUAAUUUUCAAUCACCCGUAACUCUCACAAACGUCCGUUCUCAAGUCCGAUCUGUUUACACCAUUGUGUUCCUCGUAACAAGAUCUACUAAAUAAGAUUCGUCUAUACCAUUGUGUUCCUACAAAAAAGAUCCAUACUUGAUAGGUUUUGAAGCGUUUUGACGUGACAACCAACUUACAUUGAUUGUACUGUACAAACUGUAUAGCAGUUUACAUAUGAAAACUUAUGCAUAGGUCAAGAGACAACUUUUAUAGAUAUAGUGUAGCAUAUUAUGUAGAGGUAAUGUAUCAAACUUAUCUAAAUACUAUAUAGCCACAUAUAUUAUGUGUCUACUAACCUAAGUAGCAAGUUUAUGUAGAGACAAAUUUAUCAACUUAUAUAAAAUAAUGUGUAACCACUUGUGUGCAGAAACUAUAACAACUUAU
RNAcentral lists this long non-coding RNA (50226 nucleotides) under Setaria italica (foxtail millet). Its description in RNAcentral is "long non-coding RNA (SITA_LNC005729)". The record is from RNAcentral. Lineage: Eukaryota; Viridiplantae; Streptophyta; Magnoliopsida; Poales; Poaceae.